CACACAGACACAUACGCCUCACACUCUCUGAUCAGAUCAGCCACAGAGUCACAGUAGCACUAGCUUGAGCUAGCCACCUUCUGCCACUCCGGGCAUUUUCUUGCAUCCACGAAGGCAAUGGCCACUGCUGAUGUACGUAUAGCUUGUCUCGAUCGUCUUCCUAUAGUUCUAUUCUCUUUUCGUAUGCUUGGAUCGAUGAUCGUUUCGAUGGGUUCUUCAUCUUUUGAUCUGCUCACUGUUUACCCGAUCCAACGAACGGCCGGUCGAUCAUGAUCAUGAUCAUGACCGAGCUCGAGCUAGAUCGGUUUGUGUAUGUGUUUGACAUGUGCGUGGCGCUAAUGAUAUUAAGUGUGCAAACGUGCAGGUCCAGAACCCGGCGGUCGCGCUGACGGAGGAGGCGCCCGCGGUGGAGACACCCCUGGUCGCCGAGGAGGUCGCGAAGACGGAGGAGGCCCCCACGCCGGCGGUGGCCGAAGUCGAAGCGCCUGCUGCCCCCGUCGAGGUUGAGGAGACUAAGGAGGAGGCGCCGGCCGCCGCUGAGACGGAGGAGACCAAGGAGCCCGAGCCCGCAGCUGCGGCCGAGCCGGAGGCCGAGGCGCCAGCCGUGGUCGAGACAGAGACCAAGGAGGCCGUGGCUGAGGCAGAGCCGGCGGUGGUCGAGGAGGUGAAGGAGGAGGCGGCGCCUGCUGCCGAGCCGGAGGUUGCGGCCGUCGCCGAGGAAGCACCGGCUGCUGCGGAGGAGGCACCCGCGGCCGCGGCAGAGGAGCCGGCCGCCGCGGUGGCCAGCGUCAGCGUGUGAGGCGCCGGCGCGCGCGGACGAGGAGCUGGCUGUGUCAGCGUCCACGGCGGCAGCCGUGUGCUCCUACGUGGCACGGCGUGAUGCUCAGUCAGCCAGUGGAGUGGACUGGAGUGGAGUGCUACUUUUUACUACUAGGUGUGGGGUGCUUUGCGCGGGGUCCGCGUGACGUGGGCUAAAUAAAAGUGUUGUCGGGUCGACGCCCAGUCCCAAGUGUCGGUCAGCAGAGAGCGAGAGACGCAGUGCCAGUGUGCCACUCUAGAUAAUGUAUGCUUCUUUUCUCGACAAGACAUGCUUCAUUAUUUCUACGGACAUCUGUUUUCUCUCUGCAUGGCAAACAUAAACCUUGUUUAUCCUAAUUUAGAUUUCUAAACAUGCGUCGUCAGAAGUGUCACCCCUUGGUAUGAGCUACACACGCAUGCAUGCCCGGUCUCUUGCGAAAUAAAAUGCGUGCUUCAUCGGUCAAUUUUUUUGGGGAUGACAGUGAGCUCAUCAGAGAAAGAGCGGUUGCUAUAGAGUGGCUAUUUUGAGCACCGAGUAUCUACGGGACCAUAGAUCGUGGUUUCAUUGAUUGUCUCCGCGCGCUUCUUUGGAUAUGUGAUCUGAGUAGGCCCCGACCUUUUCGCACUAACCAUCACCCGGGUAUAAGUAUGGGCACUCGGCGUCGUACGAUUCUUUCAAAAGCUCUCAGACGUCAGCAGUUUAGCAUCGCGCGCCGGGUUGGACGGGAACCACCUGCACUUGUAUAAGGGGAUGGGUGUGCUCCAGGACGCGUUCGGGAUUGCAAAGGACGAUUGGCCCAUGACACAUUCGCAUUUAGGAUGUAGACCGGUGUGCUGGUCUCUCUGUUUAGCCUAGGUAGGACUACGGUGUGUCGAUGAGCCGAGGUCGGGCAUGACCCAGAAACGUGUGUUCGUCCGGAGUUAAUCGAGCGUGUUGGGUAAGAUUUUUGCACCCCUGCAGGAAAGUUUAUCUAUUCAAAUAGCCGUGUCCACGACAACGGACGCUCGGAGUUGUAUCCCGAUCUAUUACAACUAGAACUGGAUACUAGAAACACUAAAUUGAUAUAAUGGCUCCGGGAUUGAUUUCUCGCAGGGAGUCGAGGAAGAAUCUCUGAGCGUUACUACAAUAUACUUGUUACUUCAUAAUAUGCUAAUCCACCUCUUCUAAUGUUGUAAGAUGCUUCAAAAUGCUAGUCUUCGAUAUGCUAGGUCUUCCCUUCUAUUCUGGCAUUUCUGCAGUUCAGUCCAAAGAUAUAGCUCCAUUCCUUUGAUACUGAUGCAUACUUUGUAUAUAUCUGAUGUAAGUCUUGCGAGUACUUAGGGUGAGUACUCAUGGUUGCUUUGCUACCUCUUUCUCCUAUAGCCGAUUGUUGCGAUCAUAUGACGGAGGCCAGGAGCCAGCUGAUCUUCAGCGACUAAUACUACCUCGACGGAGCUUACUACUACGUGAAGGCUGUUGACGACCAGGAGUAGUUAGGAGGCUCCCACGCAGGAGGCCUAUGCUUAUUCGAUCCAUGUUGUUGUUGUUGUUGUUGUUUUUGUUAUCCUUCUUAAGGCAAACUUGUUUACUUAUGUUUGUACUCACAUAUUGUUGUUUCCGCUGACUCUUAUGUAUUCGAGCCCUCGAGGCCCCUGGCUUGUAAUAUAAAGCAUGUGUGACUUUAAUUUGUGUCUAGAAUUCUGUUGUGAUAUCUUCCCGUGAGUCUCUGAUCUUGAUCGUGCACAUUUGCGUGUAUGAUUAGUGCACGAUUAAGUUGGGGCGUCACACUAGCGCCGCCUGUGCGGAGCAGCGGCCGGAGGUAGAGGAGGUCGUCGGACCGGAGAAGCAGAUCGGGCAUGCCUCGCAGAUCUGCGCGCGGGGUGGGAAGGGCCGGCGCCGGCGUCGGCGCUGCGGUGACGGGCGAUAGGUCGCGUCGCACCGGGCCCGGAGCUGCCGCCCAUAUCGGCCCACGAGCGCUCGAGCGUGAUACUGAGCGCCAGCUCCUUCUUGUCUCCGGGGCUGCCGUCGGAGUGGCUGCCGGUGCUGGAAAUGCUUGCCGGUGCUAGGGAUUUGGCGGAUUGGGGAAAUGGGAGCAUCGGGGAGGGAAGGGGAGCGGAGUGAGUUAGGGUUUCUGCCGUACGGGGAUUUUUUUGGGGUCAGGGUGGGCCAGCGGUGGGCCGGGCUGACGUAACGGACAUGCCUGGACCACCUCAUGUCUGCCCUAUAUUUGGGAUGGAUAUGAGGGGCGCCGGUCAGUCCGGACGUUUGAGGCCCGUUUGAGAGCUUCGGUUGGGUCGGUUUUUGGUGACUGGUCAGUGACCGGAUGGCCUGCCCAGACAGAUGAGACAGAUACAUGACGCCCGGUUGUAGAUGCUGUGAAGGUGCUCCUUUUGCCAAUGCCACAAAUUGCUCUCUCCGAAUGCAUGCUUUUCAACAUGGUUUUAUUUCUGCCGAGCUGAUAGAGUUUUUUUUAUGUACCCCUAUGUAAACCAAUAUAAGAUUUUCUUUUAGAUCACUAAAGUGAGAGCAAAUAUUAUUAGGAGGAUGAUAACCACCACGUAGAGUACGUACGUGGUACAAAAUGCACAACUCAUAUCUCAUUUAUCCUCGAGCACAGACGACAACAAAUGCACCUGGACUAAGCUCAAUCUUUUGGAGACCAUCCGCAUUUUACUUUUAGCAAAUUGGAGACCAUCCACAUGCAUGUAGUAGCCGCAUUUGUUAGAAAUAAUGGGCUCGACCUGUGAAUAAUUUCUGAAAUCUCAAAUUGGCCCAUGUGUACAUUAAAUUGGCAUGCGAUGGUUCUAAACAGUAUUAACAAAUCGAAAGUUGAGUAGAUGUGCGAACUCGCUAUACAGUGGGUUCUCUCCAUCACAUUAAGUCAUGUGCUGAGGAGAGAAAGCAAAGACCCCACACGGGCGCUCGCCUCGACUUGUCUCGUCGGUCUUGGGUCUGGAAUCGGACCGGGGCGGCAUAGCCGUGCGACAUGCGUGUGAAUCGUUCGUUUCGCGCUUGCCUCGCCGGGCUCAACCCAGGGCCGAAGUGGCGUGGGCGUGCAACAUGUACGUGGAUGUAUCGCCAAAAUCCGGUCCAUGGAGUAGGUCUCUAAAACUCGACGGCCGCGUUGCCAGAGGAGGCGCCCGCGGUGGAGACGUCGGUCGCCACCGAGGAGGUCGCGAAGACGGAGGAGGCCCCCGCGCCGGCGGAGGCCGAAGUCGAGGCGCCUGCUGCCCCCGUCGAGGUUGAGGAGACCAAGGAGAAGGUGUCGGCAGCCGCUGAGACGGAGGAGGCCAAGGACCCGAGCCAGCAGCUGUGGCCGAGCCGGAGGCCGAGGCAUCCAAAGAGCCAGAGGCGCCAGCCGUGGUCGAGACAGAGACCAAGGAGGCGAUGGCAGAGGCCGAGCCGACGGUGGUCGAGGAGGUGAAGAAGGAGGCCGCGCCUGCUGCCGAGCCAGAAGUGAUGGUCGCCCCAGCCGUCACGGUGGAAGCAGCGGAGGAAGCGCCUGCGCCCGCGGCGGAGGAGCAGACCGCCGCGAUGGCCAGCGUCAGCAUGUGAGGAGCGAGCAAGGAGGAGCUGGCUGGGUCAGCGUCCACGGCAGCGGCCGUGUGCUCCUACGUGGGACAGCGUGAUGCUGAGUCAGCCAAUAGAGUGGACUGGAGUGCUACUCCCUCCGUUCAAAAAUAUAGUCCGCCCGUGCUUCCCAAGGUCCAGUUUUGACCAUAAAUUUAACCAAUGAGACCGACUGCGGCGGGUGAAAAAUUAUAUAAUUGAAAAGUUCUUUUGAAUACGAAUUCACUGGUAUGACUUUUGCUCCCGUCGCAGUCGGUCUCGUUGGUUAAACUUAUGGUCAAAUUUGAAUCACGGGAAUAGAGGAAGCACUAUAUUUUGGAACGAAGGGAAUACUUUUUACUACUAGGUGUGGAGUGGAGUGCUAUGCGCGGGGUCGUGUGAAGUGGGCUAAAUAAAAGUGUUGUCUAGGCCAGUUGAUGUCCAGUGGUCAACAGCGAGCGAGCGACGCAGUGCCACUUCUAGAUAAUGUAUGCUUUGAAAGUGCGUUAUAUCGACUAGAGGAGGGGUGAAUAGGCGAUUUUUACAAAUUCGUCACUGAGGAAAUUCUAAGUGAGGAAUUUCCUAAGCAAUGAAACACUAGCAGCGGAAUAAAUACUCAGGUACAAGCAUAACAGAGCAAUAGCGUAGUCAUCAUGAUGAAAUGAAAACAAGCACAGAGUACAGGUAGCAUGAAAACAUGAUAAGAAGGCUGAAGACAAAGUGACUGGAGAAAUAGGGUCGAGGAAAUAGAGAAAGUCUUCAGUCAAAGUCUUCAAACAGUAACAAUCAGGUUCAUCAACAUAUGAAUGAGGAAAUGAAAGGGUUGAGGAAAUAGAACCAGUAGCUUGGUCAAGACGAUGAUUUGGUAGGCCAGUUCCAACUGCUGUGACAGUUGUACGUCUGGUUUGAGCGGCUAGAUAUUUAAACCUAAAGACACACAGUCCCGGACACACAGUCCUCACCUAUUCUCCUUGAGCUAAAGUCACACAGACCUCGGCCAAUCACUCGUGGUAAGACUUCACGUGACUUACAAACCUUCACAGACUUGGUCACUUGGCGAUCCACAAUUCCUCUUGGACGCUCUAGACCAUGACGCCUAACCGUCUGAAGGAUGCACAGUCCUAAAAGGUAACAAGCGUUGGUUCCACACAGGAACAAUCUCUUUAGUGAUGCUCAAUCACUUUGGGUUGUAGGUGUUUGGGUUUGGGUUUUUCUCACUUGAUGAUUUUCGCGCAAAGUCCUCGGAGGAUGGGAUGCUCUCAAUGACAAGUGUCAGUUUCUCUCGGAGUAGCCAACAAACUAGUGGUUGUAGGGGAGGCUAUUUAUAGGCUAGGAGUAGCCCAACAUGAUAACAUUACUGGAAUCAGUAUCUUUGCCGUCAGCCAGCUCGUUGCCGUCUGUUAACUGAUGACAAAGAAGGUCUUUGCCAUCAACUUACAGAAAACCGACGGCAAAGAAAGAGCUAACGGCAAAGAUCAUGUUUGGCAUCAGCCAGAUCUUCGCCGUCUGCUAGCAGGCGAUAAAGAGGGAGGGUGGCCCACUAGCGAGAACCACCUAACGACCACUUUCUUUGUCGUCUACUAGUUGACGGUAAAGAAAGUGGCCAACCUAACAGUCGUUUACCCCGGCCCCACUCCACUAGCUAGGCUCUUUGCUGUUUGCUAGCAGACGACAAAGAGCUUCUUCUUCUUCUUCUUCUUCUUCUUCUUCUUCUUCUUCUUCUUCUUCUUCUUCUUCUUCUUCUUCUUCUUCUUCUUCUUAUACAACAAAGGCCUUUGCAUCUUUGCCGUCUGCUAGCAGAAGGCAAAGAGCCCUUCACCGCAGUUUGUUCAGCCGGAUGUGUUGCCGUCUGUUGGCUGACGAUAAAGGCAUUUGCCGUCCGCCAGGCAUGCCUUUGCCGUCAGCCAUGGCAGACGGCAAAGUUCCUGAUUCCUGUAAUGUAAGACAUAAAUGCACUUCAGUAAUAUGACCAUUAGGUGGGUAGGAUAUUUUAGACAGCUGGCGCGUAGCACAACAACGGUCGGAAAUUUGAGCUCUCAAAUUCCUCAGGACUAUCAUGUUCCUCACAUGUAGGCAAUCCACACUGGUGAAUUCCAAACUCCUCAGUCAGAACCAAUUUCUUAGAGAACAGAAGAUCUUCGUCUCUGUCACUGAAGAAAUUGACUGAACUGUAUGAGAUUUCCAAUGACUUCACUCGGAAGGAUUGGGUAGGUGUAGGCUUUGAGUUGAGCAUCACUUGGAAAGUGUUUCCUUAGUUUUACCUUGACCCCCUUUAACAGUACGGUGUUUCCUAUGACUCAAGAAAGAGAAAAUGAAACUACGAAAAAAAAGUCUUCACGCUUCAUAGUCCUCACAUGAAUAUCUAAGUUUUCAAGGUCACACCAAUUAUCUCAGUUUCAAAAUCUUCAAGAAAACCAAAGUCUUCGGCUGAAGACGUACAUUUUUAGGGGUGAACUUUCAUCGUAAAUAUCAAACUCCUCAUCGACUUAUAGAUCCUUUGUACACUCACAAACACAUUAGUCUCUUAACCUAUAAGUCUUCAGUACACCAAAAUCACUAAGGGGCACUGGAUGCACUUACAAUCCCCCCCUUUUGGUGAUUGAUGACAAAUAGGUUAAGUUUUCAACGUGGAUAAAUAUAUGAAGUGUAAAUGCUAAUAUUGAGAAAUUUGAUUGCAAGAUAUAGAAGAACUCCCCCUGAAGAUGUGCAUAUUGAGGAAGUUGCUUUGGAUUGCAAAUGCACAUUGUAGAGUAAUAUCAUGGAGAUAUCCCCCUAUAUCUUGUAAUUCAUACACACAUUUGACAUAUGAUAUGAAGAAUUUGAAAUGCAUGAUGAAAUAUGGUGUCUGACGAAAUUCAGCAUGCGUGCAUUAAGGUACUUGAGGAAAUAAUCAUGUAGAAAAUAGUCAAAAGUAUCAGAGCACCAUAGGACUUAAGUUUACAACUCAUGAGAGCAAACACCUCAGAAGAGAAAGAGUUGUAACUUAACAAAAAAACGCCCAUAAAAGAGAGACCCACUUGAAGACUAACCCAGAUUCUUCCCCCUUUGUCAUCAAAUGACAAAAAAGGGACAAAAAUGAGGACUAACGCCCCUGAAGAAUAUAAUCAUCAUGUCGAUGGAGGAGCACCAGCGUUGUUGGGGUCGUCCGUUGAGGUAGGGCCUGCCGCAGUGUCGUUCAAGUCUUCAGCUUCAUCCGUCUCAUGCGACGAAGAAUAUGAACUGGCGACCAGCUGAGGAACUUUGACCUUCUUGAAUUUCUUCGAAGGUGGCUGAGACUAGUCAAAGUCCUGUUGGAAGUCCAUUUCCUUGAGUAUCUGUCAUGUUCUGAAGAAUUGCACCAAACUGACACUUGACCCACUUGUGACUUCGAUCAACUUUCUGGUGAAGACUGAGGAGAAGUUCACCAUUAGUCAUUACACGCGGAGCAGUGGCUUGAGGAUUUUGCUUUGAAGCUUUGGCGGCAGAAUCUUGUGUUGCAGAGUCAUCAUUGGUGGAAUAUGAGGCAGCCUUGCGAAACUGACCAUCCAAUGGACGAGUGCCUUCAUCAAUACAGCCGCUUUGCAUUUCUCAUCAGCUGAGGGAAUAGUCCUUUUGAGAACUUCAAUAGGUGGCAAAUAGCUAAGAUGAUUUUGAAAGUCGGCCUUGUAGUGAAUUGAAGACCUUGAUCUGAUGAAUUUCAUGAUCCAGGGUGCAUAAGGCUUCAACUCAAAAAGUGACAGAGCAGCAUUGGUCAAAGUCCUCAUGAAGAAAUCAUGGUAGUUGAUAGGAAUACCAUGCAUGAUAUUGAAAAGCAGAUGCUUCAUGAUGCCAACAACCUCUUCUUCAUCAGAGUUGUGGCCCUUGAUUGGACUGAGGGUUUUGGUCAAGAUGCGAUAAACUAUCCUUGGCACAUAGAGCAACGCCUUCAUGAGGAAUGUGGUCCUUGGAGCUUGGCCAGCCUUGAAAGGCUUCAUCAUCACUUGCAUCAAAUGAUUUGAGAGUUCAGGUUCCUCAUAGAGGAACAGGGCACCUUCAGUGGGAGGAUUGACUGGGACGGCGUGAAGCAAUUCAGAGGCUGGUGCUUUGUAAUGAGUAUUUUCAGACAUCCAGUCAAGCACCCAUGAAUUCACAUCUUCAACAUUUCUAGUAAGGUGCAGUGUUGCGUAGAAUUGAAGAAUGAGUUCUUUAUUCCACUCACAGAUGUCAGUACAGAGGUUCAAGAGCCUAGCAUCAUGAAGAACACUCAGGACAGGUUGGAAGCAACGAAGUGAUUCCAUAUCCACAUGAGGAAUUUGUUGAUGCUCAAAUACCCUGUCCUUAUCGAAUAGGUGUGAAGAAUAGCCUGACUGGCUGUCCAGAAGCGCUUGUGUCGAAGCCUUGUAGAGUCAUAGGGAUUGUAAUCCAUGAAGAAAUGAUGCUCAAUAAAUAAAUCAUCAACUUUGAAUUUCUGCUUCUUUGUAUGAGGAUUUUGUGGCUUGUGCUAAAGAUUAACAGUUGAAAUCUUCACAUCCUCUUGGUGCACAACCUCUGGAGCCACAGACUGAGGUAUUUCAGCGGCAGAUUCAUCAGCAGCAGUUGUCCUCCAUUUCUUAUCCAUUAUAAGCUGGGACUUCUUCUGGAAUAUAAUGAAGUGAAGUUUGUCCUUCUUCAGAUCUAGUAUGAAUUUCUUCAGUUUGAACUGGGGACUGAGGAAUUUGAUGUAGAGGGGUGGUCAAUGGUGAAUUUGGAUGAUGUCUUUCCCAAUAGUCAUAAUUCAAAAUAGGAGUUGUAGAACUAAUGUCCACAUCCUCAUCUUCUUCAUCAAUUUCUUCAACGCCUGCCUCUUCCACUGUGAGCUGAGGCAUGGGCAAUGAUACCAGCGGAGUUGAAGGGAUAUUAUCUACUUCAAUUUCUUCAUCCAACCGCUCUGAAGUAGCAGCAGAGGGUUUUUCUUCAUCAGAGUCAUCAUGUAUGACAUAUUCCACACUAAGGGGAACAAUCUCCUUUGAUGGCAUGCUUGAGAGAGGAAUAACAUCAAUGGGGUUGGCGUAUGAACUCAUCAAAGUCUUCACUUUCUUAGGAGCAGAAGACUCUAUAGUUGUUGAUGCUUUUCUUUUCAAGACUCCGAAGUUGUUGAUGCUUUUCUUUUCUUCACUACUGCCCUCUCCGAAGCUCUGGUCUUCUUCGCUUCUGAUGCAGAAGGAAGGUUGAUAUUUUUCAUAUAUGAUGACUUUGCAAGAGGAGCAACUAAUGCAGUUGCCCUAGCUUGCUUACAUUCUUCAAGCGCAACAUCAGAUUCUUUAGCUGGACUGGGUUGUUCUUCAAGCGCAACAUUGGAGGUUGCCCUGGCAGUUUCUUUAGGAGCUGUAAUUUCUUCGGCAAGGUUGGACCUACUGAGGACUGAGGAGGAGCUGAGGAACUUGCAGAUGCUCCUAAAGCAAUAGAGAUUCCAGUAGUUCGUUGGCACGUGGCAAGAUGCACAGGUGUAGAGGACUUUGUAGGUGCAGCUGAGGAUUUUGCAACUGAGGGAGUUGGAGCUGCAUUUGAAGAGGUUGCUUGAGGAAUAGGCCAUGAGGGCUUUGAAGAACUUGGCCUUGAGGGCAUUGCAGCUGAGGAAGUUGGCUUCAUAGUUGAUUUAUUUGGUAUGGCCUUCUUGGGCUUACUAGCAGAGGCCUUAGUAGCAGCAGCAGAAUCUUCAUUGAAUUUCUUCGCUGCUUCUUUUGCUACUUUGGCCAAUUUGGCUUGUCGCUUGGCCCAUUCUCUAGGAAAUUCCUCACCUCUUCUGAUGCUAGAGGGAUCAGCUUCUUGGCCUGGAGCCAUUGGAGGUCUUGGACAUGGAGGGUUAACCGCAAAUUUCUUCAUGUACUUUGGAGUGACAUAACGAUAUUCCCUCCAUUCUCUUGCCCAUCUUCUUUCAAUCCGCUGAAUGCGCACUUUGCGCUGAUUUUUGUUCUCCUUGCCAUGAGUGGAUUCAUCAGGAGUGCAGUAUUCAUCAUACAUGUCUUCAGGGAUUUCAAACAGUGUAUUUGUUUCAGGCCUCUUCCCUCCUUUCCGAGGACGUUUACCAUCAGCCAUUUUCUUCACUUGAAGAUUUUGAACAAUCGAAGUUUCUGAGGAGGUAUGCAAUUUGUCUUCGAGGAACGCUGCAAAUGAGUUAAGUUGAUGAGAACCUAGUGAUUCAGUAGAGGACAUGUGUACCUGUGGACAGAGUGUAGGUGCGAAGAAUUUGGAGAGGUCAUAUGCGUUCUCAGAAUUUUUCAGAAGAAUCAAGUUUGAGGAAUUUGACCAUGGGUGUCUUGAAGAAUUUCACUAAGCGUUUUUGUCUUAGGUUCUAGAGUUGUAUAGAUUGAAAAUCCACAAAAUUGAGGAAUCUUGAAGAAAAACACAUCUUAGAGAAACAAAUCAAGAACAUAUGCAACUUGGUGUUUAAAGAUAGGGAAAUUGAAGAAUAAACACCUUUUGAAGAUAUUGUGGAAAUCAUCAGAAUCAACAAGAGCAGUAAAAAGAGAUUUUAUUUACCCUUGACGAAGAACACGAUGAACUGGGAGUAGAAGUGGAGAAGUUCGUCAGUCCAGAUCUCCCACACCCUAACUUGGCGGUGAGAGACAGCUACGACGGCGACAGAGGUGAAGAUUUCCGCGGCCGGUGCGAGUAUGACGGUGACAAGGUCGAGGCAGUGAAGCUCUUCCUCACUAGCAACAAUGGAGAGUAGCAGCGGUGCUAGGUCUGGGAGCUCGAGCGAGGGGAGUGAGAUCAAGCAAAGUAAAUGAGGACUGAGGAGGGCGAGGGGUAUUUAUAGCCGAGUGAAAAACCGCUCGUCUGAGGAAAUUUGGACGAACGUGCCCCCGACCCUUUCCAUCCUAGCGGCAUGUGUCACCCACGUACUGAUAGGUGGAGAUCGUGUUAGAUCAUGGGUGAAUAGUUUAAUCCUGUCGUUGGAUGCGGAAUGAUUUGAGCGGCAAAAGCCGAAAAGUUAGAUAUGAAACUUUUAAUGUUUCGUUCGCAGAUUCUUCAGCUGUCAAGGACACAGUAAAGAUUUUGAAUGGGUUUCAAAUAGAACGCAUAUGAAGAAUAUGUGAACAGACUGGGUUGAGUUUAGCAUAGAGGGGGAACGGGUCCGAUCACAUUCACUUAGAUGAAAAAGUCAAUUUUAAGAAUUAGCAAUGAAGAACUCGAGUCAGAAAGAUUGAACAUUUUGCAAAGUUGAAGAAUUUGCAAAAAUUAAGAAAAACUUAAAUUUGAAGAUUUUUAACUUUGGUUGGUGGCCUAACCCACCAUAUAAGAAUGAUGAUUUCAUACACCGCAUAUAAUUGUCGUAGUGUUCUGAGAAUCAAAUUCUUCAUUAAUUUCUUCACACUUAGAGGGUUAAUCUUCAUUGAUUGAAGAAAAACGUUACUUCCUGUGUUGCACAUGUAAGUCAUCAAUUUUUCAUAAGUGUUAGGAUGUGUGUCCUUUCAAAGGACAUUCGAAGAUUCUAAGAUAUUUAGCUCACACUGCAACUUGCUAAAUCUCUUCUCAUCCAAGGGCUUUGUGAAGAUAUCUACCAGCUGAUCUUUAGUCUUCAUGUGGUCGAUGGAGAUGUCGCCCUUCAACACAUGAUCACGAAGAAAAUGAUGACGAAUCUGGAUGUGCUUUGUCUUCCAGUGUUGAACUGGGUUGUGAGAAAUCUUGACGGUACUCUCGUUGUCGCAGUAGAGUGGCACAUUCUUCACAUUGAUGCCAUAGUCCUUGAGGGUUUGCUUCAUCCAUAGCAACUAAGCACAACAAGAACCAACAAUAAUAUACUCAGCUUUAGCAGUAGAGAGUGAUACGCAGUUCUGCUUCUUCGAGGACCAAUAUAUCAAGGAUCAUCCGAGGAAAUGACAUGUGCCUGAUGUUGACUUGCGAUCCACCCGGUCACCAGCAUAGUCAGAGUCAGAAUAUCCAAUGAGAUCAUAAACCGAGCCCUUGGGAUGCCACAAUCCAAGUGUUGGAGUGUGAGCUAGAUAUCGAAGAAUAUGUUUCACAACCUUAUGGUGUGAUUCCUUCGGUGUAGCUUGAAAUCAGGCACACAUGCAAACACUAAGCAUAAUAUAUGUCCUAGAUGCACAUAGGUACAAUAAAGAGCCAAUCAUGGAGUGGUAUACUUUUUGAUCAAAGUCUUUACCAUUUUCAUCGGUGCAUAGAUGGCCAUUUGUGGGCAUAGGUAUUUUGACGCCUUUGCAAUCUUACAUGCCGAAUUUCCUCAACACAUCCUUGAGGUAUUUCUCUUGAGAUAUGACGAUGUCGUUGCGUUGUUGACGAAUUUUAAGAAAAUUCUCCCAUCAUAGACAUCUGAUAUUCUUCACUCACCGUAUAGGCAGAUUUGUCACUAUAACGUUGGUUAGUACAACCAAAGAUAAUAUCAUCACCAUAAAUUUGGCACACGAAUAAUUCAUCAUCAUAUGUUUUGGUGAAAAGAGUUGGGUCAAGUGAACCUGGUUUGAAGCCUUUCUUCAUGAGGAAUUCCUUCAAAGUAUCAUACCGCGCCCGAGGGGCCUGCUUGAGGCCAUACAUGGCCUUAUUGAGUCUAAAGACAUGGUCUGGAAGCUUUGGAUCCUCAAAACCUGGUGGUUGAGCAACAUAUACUUCUUCCUCAAGCUUACCAAUGAGGAAUGCAAUUUUCACAUACAUUUGAUAUAAGAUGAUAUUAUGAUGGUUAGCAUAAGCAAGCAAUAUGCGAAUAGCCUCAAGUCUAGCAACAUGUGCAAAAGUUUCAUCGUAAUCAAUUCCUUCAACCUGUGUGUAGGCUUGAGCUAUAAGACGAGCCUUAUUCCAGUCUAGCAACAUGAUAUUAUGCUUGCUAGAAUCUACUGAAGAAGAUCCAUUUGGUGUCGAUGAUAUUGUGUUUGUGUGGGUCUGGUCGCUUGACAAGCUCCCACACAUUGUUGAGCUCGAAUUGAUGUAAUUCCUCUUGCAUAGCUUGAAUCCACUCAGGCUCCAGAAAUGCCUCAUCAACUUUGGUGGGCUUUGUGAUAGAGACAAAAGCAAAAUGCCCACAAAAGUAAGACAAAUGUGUAGCUUUUGAGCGUGUGAGAGGACCUGGUGCGUUGAUGUUGUCGAUGAUUCUCUCAAUUUGCACUUCAUUUGCAACGCAAGGAUGAGCUGGUUGAUGAAUUUGAUUUGGCUCAGCAUUUUCUUCAGAGCCAUUUUCUUCAGGUGCACCAGCAUGAUUUUCUUUGCAUUCUAGAAUGACUUCUUCAGAAGAUUCUUCAGUGGUUAUGACAUCCUCAACAGCCUUGAACUUGAUGGAUUCCUCAGGUGACAUUUCAUCUAGCACAAUAGGUAGGUGCUCUCUUUGCGAGCCGUUAGUUUCAUCGAAUCGCACAUCUAUAGUUUCAACAACCUUGUGGUGAUAGGUGUUGAAGACUCUGUAGGUGUGCGAGUCCUUUCCGCAACCAAGCAUAAAACCUUCAUGUGCUUUCGGUGCAAAUUAAGAAUUGUGAUGAGGAUCUCUAAUCCAGCAUUUAGCACCGAAGACUAUGAAAUAACUUACAUUGGGUUUCUUGUCAGCGAGGAGUUCAUAUGAGGUAUUUUUGAAGAAUUUUUGAAGAUAUACCCUAUUGAUGAUGUGGCACGCAGUAUCAAUAGCGUCAGGACAGAAACGAGGAGGUGUCUUGUAUUUAUCAAGCAUAGUGCAAGCCAUCUCAACAAGAGUCCUGUUCUUGCGCUCCACGACGCCAUUCUGCUGAGGUAUGUAAGGGGCAGAUAACUCAUGAGUAAUACCAAGUUCAUCAAGAUAGUCAUCAAGACUAGUGUUCUUGAACUCGGUCCCAUUAUCACUCUGGAUAUGCUUGAUCUUCACAUUGAAGUUCGUAGAUGCUCUUGAGGAAAAUCAUUUGAAGACUUCCCGCACUUCAGUUUUAUAAGUGAUGAUAUGCACCCAUGUGUAACGAGAAUAAUCAUCAACAAUAACAAAGCCAUAUAGAAAUGCUGCAUUUGUUAGUGUGGCAUAAUGAGUAGGGACAAAGAGAUCCACGUGAAGUAAUUCAAAUGGACAAGAGGUGGUCAUGAUAGUCUUUGAGGGGUGCUUGGCUCUGGUAUUCUUUCCAGCCUCACAAGCCCCACAAAGAUGAUCUUUAAGGAAUUUGACACCCUCGAUGCCAAUGACAUGCUUCUUCUUCGCGAGAGUAUGUAAGUUCCUCAUGGCAGCAUGACCUAGUCGUCGAUGCCAUAACCAGCCUUCUGAAGCUUUUGCAAGUAGACAUGUGGCAGGCUGUGGUCCCACAGAGAAGUCAACAAUAUACAAGUCUCCUCUCCUAAAGCCUUCGAAGACUUUGGAAUUGUUAGAUUCCAUUAGCACAAUACAACAAUAUUUUCCAAAGAUGACAACCAUAUCAAGAUCACAAGGCAUUGAGACAGACAUGAGGUUGAAUCCUAAGGACUCGACAAGCAUGACUUUCUCCAUGUGUCUAUCCUUUGAGAUUGCAACCCUACUAUGAUAGCCUGGCUUAUUCGGGAUUAUAGACUACUUAUAUCAAUAAGGAAUUCCUUCUUUUCCGGAAGCCCAUUCGGACAGAACUCCAAAGUUAAGCGUGCUCAGCUUGGAGCAAUUUCAGGAUGGGUGACUAACUGGGAAGUUACUCCCGGGUGCGCACGAGUGAGGACAAAGUGCGCAAAAAAGACUAGUAUUGAUUUGUGGGGCCAAUCUAGAUCCCACCAGGAGUGACGACCACUGGCGGGUGUGUCUGGGGCGUUACAAGUUGGUAUCAGAGCUGACCCUCGAGGUUACACGGAUGUUUGCAGACAGGUGCGCGGUCAUAUUUGUUCAUGACGUUUGUGACCCGUCAUGGCACACGACAUGACACAUGUAAUGGACUGGAUGCACAGACGUAUGUGCCAAGAGGGAACGUUCAUGUGGCCCGACGAGGACGUCGGUUCCUCUGAGUGGGGGUGUAUGUGAUAGCCUGGCUUAUUAGGGAUUAUAGACUACUCAUAUCAAUUAGGAAUUCCUUCUUUUAUGGAAGUGCAUUGAGACAUAACUUGCGGGUGUGUCCGGGGCGUUACACCUACCUAGACCCAAUACCUUGCUUUUGCCUUUGUCAGCGUAGGUGAUAUGCUUCAGAUGAGAUGGAGAUAAAGCCGUGUCCAUCAAUAAGUUCCUGUCACUAGUCAUGUGAUUUGUACAUCCACUGUCGAGGACCCACUCAGUAGCUUUGGGUUGUUCAUCCUGCAGAUGAAUUAGUGCAACUUAUGAACCCAUAUACUUCAUUAGUGAAGAAUAUGACAUCAAUUUGAUUAGAUUGAAUUUCAUCAAGUAGUACAACAGAUAUAGCAGUAUGAGGACGUGAGAAAUGAGUAAUUCAUUUCUUCAUGAUUAGAUUGCUUCCUUUCAAGCAUAUUCAUGUCUCCAGCAAAUUCUUCAGACGUUCAAGUUCGUCUAGAGACCUGACCCUGCAUAAGAGAUUAGUUCUUUUUCUUCACCACCAACAUAUGCAAGGGUGGCAAAGAGUUCAUCAUUCUGCGAGCUCCGUAAGAGAAAGAUGGCAUUGAAGCCAACCCUCUUUGUUUCACAAAAGAGGUGUUAGAGUAAGCAUAUGAAUAAGCAGAGAAAUUCUUCCAGGACUUAUGAACAUAAUGAUUUGAAGAAUAAUGCACAUAUUCAUAGCCUUUUGACUUUCCCUGCGAAACAGAAGUGUUAGCACGAUGAUGUUCAUAUGUGGAUUUGGAUCCACAUGAGGAAUUUGAACCAAAUGAAGAAUUUGGUCCAUAUGAGGACUUGGAUCCAUAUGAAGAUUUUGAUCCAUAUGAAGAAUUUGAUAUGGGGUUCCUAUUCUUCGCAGGUGGUGUCAUGAGGGCAUUCACCUAAAGACUUUCAAGGCACCUUUUGGGAACCCAGAUUUUCUUCAUAGGGGGACCGUUCCUGCAGUUAGUUCCAACAUAUCGAGAAACUACUCUACCAUUCUAAUUUUUGAACAGUUUAUAGUUGGAGUCAAAUGACUCAUCAGAGGAACGUGAGGAUUCAUAAGUAAAGCCAGAUAAAGUGGAUGGAUGUACGGGAAGUCUUUUCGCAGCAACCCAUGUGGUUUUGGGAUACUGCUCAGGUUUCCAGUAGGUCCCAUCCUCAUUGACUUUCCUCUCAAAGUCAAUACCCUCUUUUCUAGGGCUCCUGUUCAAGAUCUGCCUUUUGAGUACAUCACAAAGAGUCUGAUGCCCUUUGAGGCUUUUGUAUAUGCCUGUCACAUACAAUUCCUUCAACCCUGCAUUAUUGUCAUUGAUACUUGUGGUAUCCUCAAAUGAUGAAUUUGUGACCACAGAGAUAGUUAAAAAAUUUGCAGUAAUAGAAGCAUUUGAACAUUCAGGUGAAGAAUUAGCAGAUUCAUACUCAAUGCAUUUCAAACAUGGUGGAAUGAAUUCUUCCUGAGCAGAAUUGAUCUAUUGAGCAAGCAAUGAAUCAGUUUCCUUUUGAAGAUCUUCAUAACUUACUCUUAACUUCUCAAGAUCUUGCUUUCUUUGAAGAAAUUCAUAAGAAAGCUUCUCAUGAUCGGCUAAGAGAGAGUUAUGAUGAUUCUAAAGAUUAUCAAACUUAGACUGAAGUCACUAAAGAUUAUCAGUCAGAGUUUCAGUUCGAACCAAUUCCUCACCCAACAGGUCAUCACUUUUGUCUAGUAGAUUUUGAACCUUUUCCAAAGCCUUUUGUUGUUUAACAAUAAUUUUAGCAAGUUUGGAAUAGCUAGGUUUGAGAUUUUCAUCGGAUUCAUCCUCACUGGAUUCAGAGGGGAAAUGUUUGACUACCUUGGCACCUUUUGCCAUGAAGCAGUAGGUGGGAGCGUAGUCAUUGACGCUAUCAUCAGCAGUGUUGGGGAGGUCAUUUUCAUCAACAAUGAAGAUGGACUUGCUGACGUAAGUAGUAGCAAGGGCUAGGCUCGCCACACUAGAGUCUGACUCCUCAGAUUCCUGCCCUUCCUCAUUUUUAUCAGAUUCAGCUUCAGAGUCCAUUUCCUUGCCAAUAAAUGCCCGAGCCUUUUUGGAACUCCUCUUCUUGUGAGAUGAAGACUUUGAACAUAUUGACGAUGAGGACUUUCAAGAUUUCUUAUUCUUCUUUGAGUCAUCAGAACUAUCAUCCUGGUACUUCUUCUUGUUUGAUUCCUUCGCCCACUGAGGACUAUCAGUGAUAUAGUGGCCAGGUUUCUUGCAUUUGUGGCAAGUCUUAUUCUUGUAAUCGUGGGAUCAGGAAUCAGAUCUCACGUCAUCACUUCUUGAAGAUUUUCCAAAGCGACCAUGCCGUGAGAACUUCUAGAAUUUCCUCACGAGCAUUGUUGGCUCCUUUCUUAGUACUUCAAGAUCACCAAGGCUGCUACCAGAAUUUUCACCUUCAAAUUUAGAGACUACCUUGGCCUUCAGUGCACGUGAUCUUCCAUAGCUUGUCCCAUAGAGGUCUCUCUUCUCAGCAAGCUGGAACACAUGAGUAUUUAGCCUCUCGAGGAUAUCAGCAGAAUCUAGUGAGUUGUAGUCUCCACGUUCUUGAAUCAUCAGUGCAAGAGUAUCGAAUGAGGAAUCAAGUGAUCUCAGCAAUUUCUUCACCACCUCAUGGUCGGUGAUUUUAGUGGCACCAAGUGCUUGAAGCUCACUUGAGAUGUCUAUGAGGCGAUCGAAGGUUUGCUGAACAUUUUCGUUGUCGAAUCUUUUGAAGCAGAUGAAGAGAUUGCAAAGAACAUGAAAUCAGGAGUCACGUUGAGUAGAGACUCCUUCGUUGACCUUGGAUAGUCUGUCCCAGAUGAGCUUUGCUGUUCCAAAGCACUCACUCUACUGUACUGUCCUUGGCUCAUAUGGCCACAUAUGAUAUUCUUUGCUUGAGAAUCAAGUUGCUUGAGUCUCUUCAUAUCUAUAGCAUUCAGGGACGGUGUGACAGAGGGAACACCAUUUUCCACAACAUACCAGAGAUCGUUGUCAACUGCCUCAAGAUGCAUGCAUAUCUUAUUCUUACAGUAGGGGUAGUCCGUCCCAUCGAAGUUAGGACACCCAGCCGAAACCUUGAUCAUUCUUGCAGUCGACAUAACUAAAACUCCAGGUGGUUAAACCAAAAUCACAUAGAACAAGGGAGUACCUUUCUCAUACCAAAUGAAAGUGUGUUAUGUCGACUAGGGGGGGGGGUGAAUAGGCGACUUUUACAAAUUCAUCACCAAGGAAAUUCUAAGUGAGGAAUUCCCUAAGCAACAAAACACUAACAGCAGAAUACUCAGGUACAAGAAUAACAAAGCAAUAGCAUAGUCAUCAUGAUAAAAUGGAAACAAGCACAAAGUAUAGGUAGCGUGAAAGCAGGAUAAGCAGGCUGAAGAGAAAGUGACUGAAGAAAUAGGGUUGAGGAAAUAGAGAAAGUCUUCAGUCAAAGUCUUCAAACAGUAAUGAUUAGGUUCAUCAACAUAUGAAUGAGGAAAUGAAAGGGUUGAGGAAAUAGAACCAGUAGCUUGGUGAAGACGAUGAUUUGGUAGACCAGUUCCAACUACUGUGACACUUGUACGUCUGGUUGGAGUGGCUGGGUAUUUAGACCUAUGGACACAUAGUCUCGGACAAACAGUCCUCACCGUAUUCUCCUUGAGCUAAAGUCAGACAGACAUCGCCCAAUCACUCGUGGUAAGUCUUCAGGUGACGUCCAAACCUUCACAGACUUGGUCACUUGGCGAUCCACAAUUUCUCUUGGACGCUCUAGACCAUGACGCCUAACCGUGUGGAGGAUGCACAAUCCUCAAAGGUAACAAACGUCUCCACACAGGAACAAUCUCUUCAGUGAUGCUCAAUCACUUUGGUUUGUAGGUGUUUGGGUUUGGGUUUUCCUCACUUGAUGAUUUUCGCUCAAAGUCCUCGAAGGAUGGGACACUCUCAAUGACAAGUGUCGGUUUCUCUUGGAGCAGCCAACCAACUAGUGGUUGUAGGGGGCGGCUAUUUAUAGUCUAGGAGCAGCCCGACAUGAUAAGACAUAAACGCCCUUCAAUGAUAUAACCGUUAGGUGGGUAGGAUAUUUUGGACAGCUGGCGUGUAGCAUAGCAACGGUCGGAAAUUUGAGCUCUCAAAUUCCUUAGGGCUAUCAUGUUCCUCACAUGUAGGCAAUCCACACUGGCGAAUUCCUAACUCCUCAGUCAGAACAAAUUUCUCAUAGAACAGAAGAUCUUCAUCUGUGUCACUGAAGAAAUUGACUGAACUGUAUGAGAUUUCCAAUGGCUUCACUUGAAAGGAUUGGGUAGGUGUAGGCUUUUAGUUGAGCAUCACUUGGAAAGUGUUUCCUUAGUUUUACCUCGACCCCUUUAACAGUAUGGUGUUUCCUAUGACUCAAGAAAGAGAAAAUGAAACUACGAAAACAAAAGUCUUCAUGCUUCAUAGUCCUUGCUUGAAUAUCCAAUUCUUCAAGGUCACACCAAUUUUCUCAGUUUCAAAGUCUUCAAGAAAACCAAAGUCUUCGGCUGAAGACAUACAUGUUUAGGGGUCGACUUUCAUCAUAAAUGUCAAACUCCUCAUCGACUUAUAGAGCCUGUGUACACUCACAAACACAUUAGUCCCUUAAUCUAUAAGUCUUCAGUACACAAAAAUCACUAAGGGGCACUAGAUGCACUUACAUGCUUUUUAUUUUCUCAACAACACAUGAUUCAUUAUUUCUACGAACAUCUGUUUUCUCUUUGCAUAGCAAACAUAAACCUUGUUUAUCCUAAUUUAGAUUUCUAAGAGCAUAUCCAACAAGUGCACAACACGUGGCGCGCAAAAAAUGGCUUUGCAACACCGAAAUAGUUAGUUUUUGCGUGCAGCUGAGCGCUGGCUCCAGCGACCGCUGCAAAAUAUAGCGCGCGCGAGCCGCUUCAGCAGGUCCUGCAAAAAAAGGCGCCACGCGCCCAACACAAACAACAUAUGACACUCCAAACAAAACCAAGGAGAUCAAACACAUAAUAAAUAAAUCAACAAUAAAUAGUUCAAUUUUAUUACAACUCGGGUAAAUAGUUUAUCUUCCAAUACAACAAAUAGUUCGACAAUACAACAUCAAACGUACAACAUCAAACAUACAAAUCAUCAUGCGUUUUAUUGGCCAUUCCAGGCCCACCACUCUUUGAUUAGAUCCUUCUUAAGAUCAUCAUACGUUUCGGUACGUCCAAUGACAUGAUAGGAGACAACAAAUUGGGCCACCCUUGCAGCCCUCCGCCGCACUCGCCCGGGAUGUCCCAAGAGCUCAUACUUAGAGUAGUCUAAAUCUUGGCUACACUCAAUCUUGAUGAUCAUGUUAUGCAUGAUCACAUGCAUGCAUGAUAUACCAAAGGAUAUUUUGAUUCCAAAAUCUAGCCGGUCCUCUCACAAUAGCAAAUUGGGCUUGCAAAGCUCUAUCCACAUCUUUCUUAGCCGCCGCUUGCGCAUUGUGGAAAUCUACAUUUUUCUUACCUUCCGGCUUUUCUACGGCUUCACAAUUGUCGCUCUAGGUAGGUGACAUCCGCAAGAUAGUAGCCAUAGUUGCAUGUAUGGCCAUUUUCUACAAACUGCACCGGUGGCAGUUCACCGUUUGCAAUCUUAUUCAUGAGUGGUGACCGAUUAACAACAUUGAUGUCAUUGAAAGAUCCAUGCAUUCCAAAAAAAUCAUGCCAAAUCCAAGUCUCUUGAUUGGCCACCGCUUCAAGGAUUGUAGUGAAACCCUUUUUCUGGCCAUAGAAUUUCCCAUGCAUGCCUGACAAUUCUUCCAACUUCAACGCAUGAGAUCUAUUGAGCCACGCAUAUGUGGGAACCCGCGAGCUUUGUUCAUCUCCAGAAGCCUUGCGGCGCCUUCAGCAUUGGGAGAUCUCAAAUACAUCGGGCCAAAUACUUGCACAAUUCCAACUGCGAAGCGCUUGACACACAUGAUGGCUUGAUUCUCACCCAUGGCCAAGUGGUCAUCAACUAGAUCAGCCGGAAUACCAUAUGCCAACAUAUGCAAAGCGGUUGUCAACUAUUAAAAGGUGCUAUGCCCGAGUUCUCUGGCGGCAUUCCUACUUUGCUGAAAAAACUAAUCAUGGCUCGCCAGUUUCUCUGCAAUGCGCCUGAACAACUCGGUGCUCAUCCUAAACCGGCAUCAGAAGUACGACUUGGGGUACACAAGAUUAUCCACAAAAUAGUGCCUCAUCAAUCUAUUGUUGGCACUGAUCUUAUCCCUCUAAUUUUUCUGCUGACCCAUAACGAAACCACCGUGCUUCGGCUUUUUAUUAAUGUGCAUAGCUAGGAUCAUCGCAACACUACAAGGGAAAUGCUUAUAGGCAGGACCUCAGUAGUAAAAAAGCCACCGCUGCUGCUACUUAGCAGUAGCACUGCUCCUGUGCAGUGCUAGAACUAACACCUUAGCAGUAGCGCUGGAUAACAAAAACACGCUACUACUGUGUGGGACCAAAUGACGCCACCGACAGUAGCUAUAGUAGCAGCGUUGUCUAAAUACCAACGCUACUGUCGGGGAAACCGAACACCUAUGGGGUCACAAGGAUCCCUUCUAUGUUCGGCGGGGGAUUAGUUGCAUGAAGAGCAGGUUGAGCCAUUAGCACACAGAGGAUUUUUACCAGGUUCGGGCUGCAAAGAUGCAUAAUACUCUAGUCCUGCUUGUCUGGAUAUAUGUGUUCUUGAGCGUUUGAACUAGCUACGGUGUGUGCCUUAUCCAAAAGUCCGAAUUCUCUCUCUGUAUACCUUAGGCCUCCUUUUAUAUGCAAAGGGGUUGCCACAGUGGCAUGCAGGAGGUGGCAAGCUACAGUGAUCGAGCUUAUUGCUCAGUCAACCUAGGACAAACACAUUUAAUGAGUUGCCUACGUGCCCUCUUGCUUUAUCGGGGACGACAACAGAAGCCAUCCUAUUCUUUGCCGCUUCUGCUUGCUUCGACACGUGUCCAGGCUAAUGAGGCAUGCAGUGCCACGCUGGCUAACUAGCUGUUGUGUUGGCACAAUGGUAAAGCUUCCACGAAGAUCUGCAUGCCGCCACGCAGGCGCCUGCUUAGCUGGCACGACUAUUGUCGCACUGGAGUGGUCGUGAGGUGGUGAAACCUUGUCGGGCACGGGCCUGGCUGUGGCCCAGCGAUCAUCCCCGGCAAGGCUUCCCGGGGACCUUGGAGUCGCCCCUAGCAAGGGCCUUGCCCGGGGUCAUUGUCUUCUAGUCCCACGUGGAUCUGUGGGCUGUCAAUCUUUAUGAGGAUCUGGAUGCUACCAGGCAUGUGCUCUCUAGAUCUUGGUCUUAACAUUGUCGAUGGUGUCAGAGCUCUCAGUCCCAAGGGUGAUGGACAUGCUGGUGCUGUGCAGGUCGCCCCGGCAAGACCUUUGUCGAGGAUGGUCCAGCUCUCCCUCUGCCCCUUGUGCUUCGAGUAGCUGCCUUGGUAGUCUUUGGGUUUUGUCUUCCUUUGCCCCGCCAAGCCCUGCUGCAGGUGUGGCUGCGAGUGCCCGUGCACUAGUAAGGGGUACAGAAGUACCCAUACUUUUGUACACUGAUAGGAGCCCCCGGGCCUAGGCCACACAUAGGCACAAGGCGUAGUUGGGCCAGGCCCAAGGCAGUGCGCGGGCGGGCGUGGCAGAGGUCAAUCGCCAUGAUCUUUCUAUCAUUUGCGCUUCCCCACGAUCCAUGUUGAGUGCGUGACGUGGGGGUCAUGCAUGGGAUGGCCUCAGCAUGCUUGCGUCAUCUUGCAGUCGAUAGUAAAGAGGCGGUUCAUGCUUCCCUUAUUAAAAAGAAGGAAUCUGCAGGGCCCCUGCUCAUUUACCGAGUGGACUCAGGUUGCAGCCUGCAUGGCACCGCACCCCAUGAUACGGGGUGGAAAACGGGUGUGCACCUGUCCUCACGCUCCUUCUGCUUCGCCACGUAUCCUCCAUGCCUUGGGAAGGGCAGGUGGCGGAUGCAGAGGUCGUGGGCAUUAACGUCGAGGCGGAAAACCAGGUGUUUGUUGAUUGGGGGAGCGGGUCGGUUCCGAUUCCCCAUGCCUUAGGAGGCUGCAUCGGCCAUGCGGGGCGGCCGCCCUUUGGGCUGGGUGGCCAGGCCUUGGCCUUGCUCUUCUAUUAAAAGGGAGAGGGAUGGUGCUUCUCCGCACUCGCCCUCUUCUCCUCCCCCAACUUAUCAUCUUCCUCCCAUUCGCCAUGGUGAAAGGGCGUGCUGGCGCUUCGACGGCAGCGACGAGGGAUUCUGCUCGACAUCACAUUCCUCCUCCUCUGAAGCGGCCAGGGACAGAGCCCGCUGCGAGGGGAAGAGGAAGGGGACGAGGCCGAGGUCACCGCGGUGCUCGGGGAGGAGGUGGACGGGGCGGUGCACCAACUGCACUUCCGCCGGCGGCCCCUCCUCCGACGGGCGGCCAUGUCAGAUACCAGCCCUACGAGUUCUUCAUCGGGAUAUAUAAGCCUGUGUGCAGUCGUCUCCGGCUCCCUACCCUGUUCGCCCGGGUGAGGGAGCAGUACCCACCGCAGGCCUUGCGGCUUCACAUGAGGAGCUGCAGGAACGAUAGCAUGUGGGCUGACAUUGAUUUUCCUUUCCCUAACAUCAUGUACCUUCGCCAGGGGUGUAAGACUUACGCACGUGCCCACAGCUUGUCGGAGGGGCACGUUCUCCAUUUCAAGUUAAUGGAGAGCGGCCUGCUCUUCGUCAAGGUCUUCGGGAGCUUAGGAAUCCACUUAGGGUGCUGCAUGAAGAGUUCCAUCGACGAUGAAAGCUCCUCCUCGAGCGACAGUGGCGAGGAGGACAACGCCAACGACGACAAUGGCAGCGGGCGGGAGGAUGAUGACUCCGACUCCAGCUGACCAUCAGUGGCAGCACCAUCAUCUGCCCCACCUCCUCCUUCCUCCGACAACACGCCUUGACGGGGGUUACAUCCGUUUGGUUCUAGCGUCGGUGGUGGACGGGCUUCCUCGUCAAGCUCUCCAUCGUCGCGUUCCCCAUGCCCGUCACCUUUCUUCGCCUACCGUGCAUGGGAGGAAAGGGGAAAGAACAAGGAUUACAUGGCACUUAUCUUUUUCUCAAUUUAUAGGCACUUGCCGACUAGAAAAUAUAAUCUUCCGAUCACAUGCUUAUGUUCUGUAACAUCUGUACUUGUAUCAACAUAUCAAUGAAAAAGACAAACUUUUGCCAGGAACUCAUGCAUGUAAACGUUCGUGCAGAGACGAAAUGCCCCUUUAAUAAAAAUAAACGAGUCUCCCUGGAAAGCUACCUUGCCGGUGCCCUCUGUGCCUGCCAGAGAAUCACAUCUGCCGGGUUGUAGACGCAGGGUCCAGCCCCCCGCUAAUCACUUUUUGCCAAAGGUUACUGUAACCACCCCGGUCGAAGCAGCGUUCGAGUCGGGGAUGGGAGCACCUAAGUCUAAUCAGAGUGGCAAGGUUUUCUAAUGCACAAGUCACAAGUUACGAACAUGAAAGGGCAGGAGAUGAACUUUAUCUGGUUGGGUUGUCAAUGGAGACGCCGCGCUGAGCAGUCUUCUCAAUUCCUUGCCAGGGCAUUGUUACUGCGGCUGAAAGGAGGAGAGGAUAGGGGCACGAAGCCUUGGUGGUUUCCCAGCACCUGUUAGAAUCUAAGGUAGCACAAUAUCCUAGGCAAGCAUGCAUGCAUACAUAUAUAUACAUAAACAUGCAAACUAGCAGGAAAUUGUACAUGCUAAAAGCUAUCUGGCUGCGCACAGGAUCUGCGCCUGGCUCUAUACAUAGGGUUACAUGCCUUGCAGGCAAGGCUAGUACAAAAGGGGGUUGCCGGAGCUCCCAACAACCGCGCCCUAUGGGUAAAACUUACGAAGAUGUUCAAUAUUCCAGGAGUUGCUCAGCGUAAUGCCAUCUUCGGUCUCCAGGCAGACUGCGCAGGGCCUGGUGACUCGUAUUACCCGAUAGGGGCCUUACCAAUUUGGCGUCAACUUGUUUGAAUUCUUGGCGGAUUGAACGUGCCGAAGAACAAGGUCACCUUCCUCAAGGCUUCGGGCAUGAACCUUGCGGCUAUGAUAGCGGUGCAAGGCUUGCUGGUAGCGAGCGGCUCGCACAGCAGCUCGAAGAUGAUCUUCCUCAAGGAGUGUCACAUCUUCUUGGUGCAACUGCUCUUGCUCAAGCUCAUCAUAAGCGAGCACCUGAGGUGACCCAUAUAUGAGUUCCAUGGGGAGAACUGCUUCUUCCCCAUAUACCACGGCAAAGGGUGUCUGGCCAGUAGCUCGAUUUGGUGUUGUUCUGAUUGACCAAAGAACUGUUGGCAACUCAUCAAUCCAGCGUCUUCCACACUUGCGUAGCCUGUCGAAAGUUCUCGUUUUGAGGCCUCAUAAUACUUCAGCAUCCGCCCUUUCUGCUUGGACAUUGCUUCUUGGAUGAGCAACAGAAGCAAAGCAAACUUUGCUGCGAAGGUCUUUGAUAUAUUGCAUGAAGGUGUGGCUCGUGAACUGUGUGCCAUUGUCGGUGAUGACUCUAUUUGGCACAUCAAAACGGCAAAUGAGUCCCUUGAAGAAUUUGACGACGGACUGCGUUGUCACCUUUCUCACUGGCUCCACUUUAGGCCACUUUGUGAACUUGUCAAUCGCGACAUACAAGUACUCAAAGCCCCCGACAGCACGGGAAAGGGGCCCAAUAUGUCAAGCCCCCAAACCGAAAAUGGCCAGGAGAGAGGGAUUGUUUGAAGGGCUUGAGCUGGUUGAUGAAGCUUCUUUGAAUGAAACUGGCACGCUUCACACUUGGUUACUUGUGCUGUUGCAUCCUGGAGGGCAGUGGGCCAGAAGAAACCCUGCCGGAAUGCUUUGGCGGCAAGGGCUCUUGACCCUAUGUGAGAGCCACAUAUGCCUCCAUGGAUCUCUGCCAACAGCUCAGUCCAUCCUCCCGAGGAAUACACUUUAAUUUCACGCCGUUCAGCCUCCUUCUGUAAAGGACAUCAUCCACAAACUAGUACAUGCUAGACCGACGGGCUACUUUCUCAGCUUCUUCCUGCUCCUCAGGGAGCUCCCCUGUUUGAAGGAAACGAAUUGUAUGCUAUGCUCAUACUGGAGCCUGAGGCUCGACGGCAAGGACCAAACGCAUGUUUUCUGCCACGGGGGCAGCUGUCUCUAUGGCAAGAGCUUGGGACUCUGCUGAAGACUGCUGCUCCCCGGCAGGCUUGGGGUACCCGACAACUUCCUUGCCGGCGGCUCAUGGGAGCUCUGCGGGAAAGUAUUUGCCGGGGCCCGCCUUUCUUUGCUUGUUCUUCUCUGCUGAUGGUUCGACGGAUGGCUGAGAUAAUUGAAGCACAAAGGUACCUGGUUCCACAGGUAGCUUAAGGGCAACACGCUUUGACAAGUCAUCGGCAAUGCCGUUCUCUACUCGAGGAACAUGCUCUGCUUGCAGACCGUCAAAGCGCUCUUCCAACUUCCUCACUUCAUCCAUGUAAGCCUCCAUCAGCGGGCUCUGAUAAUCCUUGUUGACUUGCUUGACGACAAGUGGUGAAUCUCCUCUGACAAUAAGCUUCCUGAUUCCAAGGUCUUCGGCAAUCCUGAGACCGACAAGCAGCCCCUCGUAUUCUGCGGUGUUGUUUGUCGACCUCUCCCGGGAAAAGUGCAUCUGGACCACAUACUUGAGGCGUUCUCCGGUGGGCGCGACGAGCAGCACGCCGGCACCAGCACCUUGUAACAAGAAAGCCCCAUCGAAGUACAUAAUCCAAUGACUACUUGCCUCUUUGCCGGGAAGGGUGGUCUCUUGAAUUUCUUCGUCGGGUGUGGAUGUCCAUUCUGCUAUGAAUUCUGCCAAGGCUCUGCUCUUGAUCAUCGAGGUACUUUCAAAUCUGAGCCCAAAGCUGUACAGCUCCAACGCCCACUCCAGAAUCCUCCCAGUUACAUCUGGGUUGUGCAAAAUCCAUUGCAACGGGAGGCGAGUGACGACGGUGAUCUCGUGUGCUUGAAAGUAGUGGCGCAACUUUCUCGAGGCCAUAAGAAGGCCGAAAAGCAAUUUCUGCAUGCUAGAAUACCUUGACCUAGCCCCCUGCAAGAGGGAGCUAGCAAAAUAGACUGGAUGCUGCACCACCUUCUUCUUCUGUGUUGCCUCCUUUACUCGCGCAAACUUUGUCUUGUUGGAACCGGGCCCUACGGGGGGUUCUGCCUUGCCGGCGUCGGACCCUGCCGGCUCUGGUUCCUCAUCCAAUGGCCUUGCCGCCGCUGUUGCCUCUUCCUCAACUUCCCUCUCUGCCACUAGUGUGGCACUGACCACUUGAUUCGCUGUUGCCAAGUACAACAACAACAGCUCUUGUGGUUUGGGUGCAACCAGUAUUGGCGUAGAGGAGAGGUACCUCUUUAAAUCUUGUAGCGCUGCCUCUUCCUCCGGAGUCCAUUUCAUUGGACCCACCUUUUUAAAUUUUUUGAAAAAGGGGAGGGCGUGCUCAGCAGACUUGGAGAUAAACCUACUUAGGGCGGCAACGCAGCUGGCAAGCCUACGUAUGUCCUUGACUCGCCUGGGCGCCUCAAUCUUCUUAAUGGCUUUGAUCUUGUCGGGAUUAGCUUCGAUUCCGUGUUGAGACACAAUGAACCUAAGAAGUUUGCCGGAUGGGACGCCGAACAUACACUUCUCUGGGUUGAGCUUGAGGUUGAUCUUGUGCAAAUUUGCAAAGGUUUCUUCCAGGUCCUGCAUGAGCGCGGUCUUGUCCUUGGUUUUGACUACUAUAUCAUCCAUGUAUGCUUCCAUAUUUCUAUGGAGUUGGGGCUCAAAAUCAAUCUGGAUUGCUCGGGCAAACAUUGAACCAGCGCUUUUCAACUCGAAAGGCAUCCGUACCAAACAGUACGCACCACAUGGGGUGAUGAACGUUGUCUUUUCUUCAUCUCCCUACGUCAUGAAGAUCUGAUGAUAUCCUGAGUAAGCAUCAAGGAACGACAGCAAGUCACACCCAGUAGUGGAGACCACUAUCUGGUCGAUACGUGGCAAUGGGAAGGGAUCCUUUGGACAUGCUUUAUUGAUAUCAGUAUAGUCGAUACAUAACCUCCACUUCCCAUUCGCCUUACGUACUACGACCGGAUAGGCCAACCACGUAGGGUGGAGUACUCCCUUGACCAAGCUUGCCGCCUCCAACUUCCUGAUAACUUCGAUGGUGAACUCUUGCCAUUCCAAAGCUUGCUUUUUGAACUUCUGCUUGACGGGCCAUGCAUGGGGGCAGACAACAAGAUGGUGCUCAAUCACCUCCCAGGGAAUGCCGGGGAUGUCGAAUGCUUGCCAUGCAAACACGUCGACAUUCGCCCGCAGGAAGGCAACGAGCUUGCUUUCCUAUUUGCUGUCGAGGGUGGAGCUUAUGGUAAAAGCUCCGCCCGUGCCAUCCUCCUUGACUGACACCUUCUUGGUUUCCGGUGGGGCUUCCUUAGACUUCUUGCUCUUGCCGGUAGAGCUCUCUGGCACGUCCCCAGCGGGAACAUAACGCUCCAAGGAGGCGCGUUUGCCGGAGUGAGUGCAGGAACCCUUGCCGGAGCCAGGAGUCCUGUCGACGGCCGAGGCCUUGCUGGUCUUGUUCUCGGCGGCGGGAGCAGGUGCCUUGGCGACAGAUGCUGCAACCGCCUCUCAAUAGAGCUGAUGGGCGCUGAUGAGAAUGUCCUUCUUACCACAGCUGACGGUGAUGAUGGUCAUCGGGCCGGGCAUCUUCAGCUUGUUAUAUGCAUAGUGCGCCACCGCCAUGAACUUGGCCAGCGCUGGGCAGGCAAGGAUCUCGUUAUAUGGCAACAGGAUCUUGGCAACAUUGAAAACAAUUCUCUCCGUCCCAUAGUUGAGGUCGCCACCAAAUUUAACUGGUAGCGUGACCUUUCCCUUGGGCUGACUCCUCCUUGGAUUGAUCCCUUGGAACGUACUCGUCUCCUCGAGAUCUUCGUCAGGGAUCUGCAGCCUCUUGAUCACGUUGGAGGAAAUCAAGUUAAGGCCGCCCCCACCAUCAACUAACAUCUUCGUCACCUUGAGGUUGCGUAUUGUUGGGGAUACCAACAACGGAAACACCCGAUCGCAGUUGUGUGAUCAGGGUGAUCCUCGGCAUCGAAAAUGAUAGGCAUGUGGGAAACCUUAGCCACUUCUGGGCAUCGACCAUUGGUUCUGUCGCAUUAAUCUCACGCACCCACUAUUUCAGUUGGCGGUGGGAAGAAUGCAACGAAGCACCUCCAUCAACGCACAUCACUUUUGUCGCCUUUUGAAACUCAUGCUCGAUGGAUUCGUCAUCAUCAUCGUGAUCGUCAUCCUCCUCUUUCUUGUCGCGGCCUCGGGCAGGCCUCUCUUGUUGCUUCUCCUUGUUGCCGCAUCCUCCUCGGGUGCCAGGCUUUUUGCCGGAUCCUUCAGCGCUUCCUUGGCCCUUCUCAUUGUCUCGUCUCUCGUACUCGGCCCUUUGCUUCUUCAUCAGCAGCUCCACUUGGCGACAGUUCUGGAGGGCGUGGCUCUUGGUACGGUGAAUCUUGCAGUACUGCUUGUCGGAGCCCUCUGACAUGCCAACAGCCGCCAAGGCCCUGCAGGCGUUGCACCCGACAAUCUCCUUGCCGGGGUCGUCAACCUUGGCCUUCUUGGCGGUGCCGGGGUCGCCGGAUUCCUCUACGGCAAGCAUGGUCUUGCCCUUGCGCUUCCUAUUACGCCGUUGGCCCUUCUUCCCCGGGGCGGCAGCGUCUUCAUCUUCUGAGUCACUUCCCACAUCGGCAUCCUCGCCGGGGUACUUCCUUCCUUCCUCAGCUUGGGCGCAUCUGUUGGCCAGAACAUACAGUUCGGCAACAUCUGCAACCUUGUUCAUCGCCAGCUCUUCACGCGUCUUACAACUGCGCAUGUUCUGAUGGAAUGUGCUGAUGACAACGGCAGGAUGAACAUCAGCGAUGUUGUACUGCACACGGCUGAAUCUCUGUAUGUACUUGUGCAAACAUUCGCAGUCCCUUUGAGGGAUCACAUGCAAAUCGCUUGCCUGGCCAGGAGCUACGUGGCCGCCUAUGAAGGCACCAACAAACUCGUGGCACAGAUCGGACUAAGAGGAUAUGGAGUCUAUCAGCAAAUGCAUCAACCAUGACUUGACGUUAGGCUUGAGUGCCAACGAGAAAUAGUUGGCGCAUACCUUGUUGUCUCGUUCUCCGGCAGCUUGCAUUGCAUUGGUGUAAACGCUCAGGAACUCAGACGGAUGGGUCUUGCCAUCGUACUUCUUCGGGACCUCUGGUUUGAACACACGAGUAUUGGGACAAUGGAACUGCCGCACCUCAUGGGUGAUGUCACGCCCAAUAUGCGACCCUAUCCAAAAGGAACUCGAAGGUCCCACCAAGGAUAGACCCGCAUAUUGAAACGCUUUUGCAAGGUGGAUAUCAUUACAUCAACAUUACAUAAUAGAUGGGGAUACAUACAAGAGGCAUACAAUGCCACACGAAUACAACAUCACAAUACAUUAGAGCAUCAUCCGACUACGGAUGAAACACAAACAGAAACUCAAACGACAUCCACCCUGCUAGCCCAGGAUGCCGACCUGGAACCUAUCCCCUAAUCGAAGAAGCAGAAGAACUCCAAUACAAGUAACAUCGCUCUUGCAUCAAGAUCAUCGCAUAACCUGUACCUGCAACUGUUGUUGUAGUAAUCUGUGAGCCACGAGGACUCAGCAAUCCCAUUACCAUGGGUAUCAAGACUAGCAAAGCUUAAUGGGAAAGGAAGGGGUAAAGUGGUGAGGUUGCAGCAGCGACUAAGCAUAUAUGGUGGCUAACAUACGCAAAUAAGAGCGAGAAGACAGCAAACAGAACGGUCGAGAAACUAGCAAUGAUCUAGAAGUGAUCCUGAACUCCUACUUACGUCAAACAUAACCAAAACCGUGUUCACUUCCCGGACUCCGCCGAAAAGAGACCAUCACGGCUACACACGUGGUUGAUGCGUUUUAAUUCGUAUCUGGUGUCAAGUUAUCUACAACCGAACAUUAACAAAUUCUCAUCUGCCCAUAACCGCGGGCACGGCUUUCAAAAGAUUAUACCCUGCAGGGGUGUCCCAACUUAGCCCAUGACAAGCUCUCGCGAUCAACAAAGGAUAUACCUUCUCCCAGGAAGACCCGAUCAGACUCGGAAUCCCGGUUUACAAGACAUUUUGACAAUGGUAAAACAAGACCAGCAAAGCCGCCCGAUGCACCGACAAUCCCGAUAGGAGCUGCACAUAUCUCGUUCUCAGGGCAACACCGGAUAAGUCAAGCUACGAGUAAAACUAGACCUCGAGUUUCCCCGAGGGGGCCCCACAGGCUGCUCGGUUCGGACCAACACUUAGACAAGCACUGGCACAGGGGGGGGUGCUAAAAUAAAGAUGACCCUUGGGUUAAUUACUCCCAAGGGAAAUAUAGGUGGUGGUGAGGCAAAUGGUAAAACCAAUGUUGGGCCUUGCUGGAGGACUUUUAUUCAAAGCGAACUGUCAAGGGGGUCCCAUAAAUCACCCAACCGCGUAAGGAACGCAAAAUCCAGGAACAUAACACUGGUAUGACGGAAACUAGGGCGGCAAGAGUGGAACAAAACACCAGGCAUAAGGCCGAGUCUUCCACCCUUUACCAAAUAUAUAGAUGCAUUAAUUAAAUAAGAGAUAUUGUGAUAUCCCAACAUAAUCCUGUCCACCAUGGAGCAAUCUUCAACUUCACCUGCAACUAGCAACGCUAUAAGAGGGGCUGAGCAAAAGCGGUAACAUAGCCAAGCAACGGUUUGCUAGGAAGGGUGUCAAAGGUUAGAGGUUCAUGGCAAUUUGGGAGGCUUGAUGAGCAAAAGAUAGGUAACGCAGCAUAGCGAUAGAACGAAGCAACUAGUAUAGCAAUGAUAGUAGUGAGAUCCAGGGUAGCGGUCAUCUUGCCUGAAAUCCCGCUAGGAAGAAGAACGAGUCCAUGAAGAAGAUGAAGCCACGAAGACGAACCAAGCGUAGACGAACGAAUCCUCACGAUCGCAACGAAAACGGGAACUAUCGAGAAGAAGCACACAACAUGGUAAACACAUCACACAUAUACAAGACAUGAUGCACAACAAGCAUGAUGCAUGGCAAAGCUAGAUGAAGCUACUCAUGGCAAGGGAUGAUGCAAACAAGAGCAACACAUCAAGGCAAGUUUAAAUGAGGCCGGGAACAACAUAUAACAAUUCCGGUAAGUCCUCAUAUGCAAGUUUCGAAAUUGGUCCAGAUCUGAAUAAACCUUAUGUUCAAGUUGUUAAACUGCAAGUUAAAAUGCACCAUGAUGAUCUACACGAGAUUCUAGUCAAGUUACAUAUAAAGUUCAUUUAAUUCGGAGCUACGCCCUAGAAGAUAUGAGCAAAACAAGUUAAACAUGGCAUUGAAGCAAAAAUGCAUACAAACAUCAAGCAAACACUUCAAAACAAGGAUGCAACAUGAUAAUAUAAAGCUACAUGCACAUUCAAGCAAGUUCCAUAUAGAGCACACUCAAAACGGAGCAAUGGUUCAACACACACACACUCUACAAGUUUAAAGGACAAACUGUCCAAAACAACAACUAGGCAUAUUGCAAGCAUCAAAACAACAUGCUACAACAUCUCGACAUGAAAACAAAAGACAUGGACAUGACGUACAGGUAAAGCAUAGCAAAACAUGAACACUCAGCUAUCUCUAGAAAUCACUAAAACAUGCUCAAACACACAUGGCAAGAUUGCAAAUAAUAACAGUUCAGACUUUGCAGAAAAUAACAUCAGGUUGCAAUGUUUAGAGCUAUCAAACAACAUGUUACAGGAACUUAUCAUGGCAAACAGAGGCAUGGAAUGAAACUACUAAUUGCAUAGAAAAAAUUUCCCUUACUGACCAUAAGCCAAAAAGGAUCAGAAAAUAUGAUGGCACCCAUGUAAACAUAGCAAAUUAUAAUACAGAUUCAUACAUGGCAGGAGCAACGAUAAGAAGGCAUGUUGAAGAGCUUGUACCACUCACCACAGAGCAUUACAUGGCAUGGCAAGGCAACCAACAGUAAGAAGACAUGUUUAUGAAGCUAAGCAUGGCAAGAGUAAGUUCAUAGGUUGCAUGGAUCACUAACAACAAGCUUGGCAACAACUGAACUUAAUGUUAACAGGCUGACAUCAACAUUAUUUAUAAACUUUGGAGCAAGCUUACAACAAGCUACAACAGGCUAUAAUUGCAACCAGGGGCAUGGAUGGAUAGAACAUAACAUGUAGAACAAAACACCCUUAGUGAACAUCUCCAGAUUAUGCAUAGAAUGACUUGUAGCAGCAAGUUUACAUAGCAUCACGAAAUAACAGAUUCAGCCUAGCAAAACAGUAACAGCAAGUACCCUACUUAACAAGCUCGAUUCACUCACCGCAAGUCAUUGCAUGACAAGAUAAGCCUAGCAUCAGCAAGAAGACAUGUUUAUGAAACAAACUAAGGCAAGAACAAGUUCAUAGCAUGCAAGGAUCAACUACAACAACCUUGGCAAAAUUGAAUAACAUGUAAACAAUCUGCCAGGAAACAUUUUGUAGCAAAAGUAGAGCAAGAAAAUGACAUGCUAGACUACUCCAUAAUUGCAAACAGUGGCAUGAAUGGAUAGAGAAUAACCACAUGUUCAAAACAUCCUUACUGAAGUAUCUCAAAAUAUGCUUGGAUCUCUCUGCAGCAUCAAGUUUACAUGGCAUCAAAAUAACAACAGAACAGGGACUAAAAUCAGCAACAUUACAAAGCCUAGUUUGCCUGCUUGUUCUAGUCACCACAUUGAUCACAAAAAUAGAUGGUAAGCACAUCUUUAAAGAUGGCAUGUCAUAGAUCAAAAUACAUGUAGACAUCAACCUCAUAGGAUACACACAUCAAUCAUGGCAAAAAUGACAAAUGAGCAUGUUAUAACAGUUUCAGCAGAUUAACAUCACCUAGCACUCUUGCAACGAUGAUUCAGGCAUCAAGGUGAGCUCAAAUGAACAUGAUGCAAUGGAAUUAAAUGAAGAACUUGUUGAGGCGAACAAUUUGAUAUAUUACACGCACCAAACGGAGCUGCGGAUGCAGAGUUACAUCAUGUCGAACAUGCACACAUAUUAUGUGUUUUUGAGGACUUAGCAGUUUUUCUGAAAAAAAACACAUACGGGUGCUAUAUAGAUAACAUACACAUGGGGCGAGGGAUAGGGGGCUGCUCACCCACGGGCUUCGGCCCAGUUUGCAGGGGAGGCCAGGCAGGACGAGGGAGAUGGGCCAGCUGGGCCUGGAUCUGGGCCUGGAUCUCGGAGGCGCGGAUCGGGGCUCCUCCCGAUCCCGAUAGGCGGCGGCGACGACGGGAGCAGACGGCGGCAAUGAGGACCGACGGGGCGACGCGGUUCCGGCGCGGCGGCGCGGAAGCCGAGGCCAUCGGAGGCGGGGUCCGGCGAGGUCACGCGUGCGGCGGAGGCGCGGGACGGCACCGAACGACGGCAGGGNNNNNNNNNNNNNNNNNNNNNNNNNNNNNNNNNNNNNNNNNNNNNNNNNNNNNNNNNNNNNNNNNNNNNNNNNNNNNNNNNNNNNNNNNNNNNNNNNNNNNNNNNNNNNNNNNNNNNNNNNNNNNNNNNNNNNNNNNNNNNNNNNNNNNNNNNNNNNNNNNNNNNNNNNNNNNNNNNNNNNNNNNNNNNNNNNNNNNNNNNNNNNNNNNNNNNNNNNNNNNNNNNNNNNNNNNNNNNNNNNNNNNNNNNNNNNNNNNNNNNNNNNNNNNNNNNNNNNNNNNNNNNNNNNNNNNNAGACGGCGGCUGCAGCAAGGGGCGACGGGGAGGCGCGGGCUGGACGAAGGUGGCGGAUUCGGGCCCCGCGGGCCUGGCGUGGGCCUCGCGGGUCGGCGGAGGCGGGCGGCGGCGACGGCUGACAGGUGGCGCGACGGGAAUGGAUGGGGCGGCAGCGCGGGUGACAUGGCACGCCCUGAUUGGGCCGGGCGACGUGUCCGGCGGACAUGUCCGGCGCAGAUGGACAUGUCCGACGGCGCGGGGAGGAGUUUGCUAGGGUUUGAUCCGCAAAAAUAGACGGGGAGGACGUUUAUAUAGGCAUAGGGAGCUAGGAGAGUCCAAAUGAGGAGCGGUUUUCGGCCACGCGAUCGUGAUCAAAUGGCAGAGAGCAUGGAGGGGGUUUGGAUGGGUUUUGGGCCACUUUGGAGGGGUGUUGGGCUGCAAGACGAAAGGGGCUUUUACGGUUGCCCGGCUAAUCGUUGGAGUAUCAAACGGACUCCAAAUGGCACGAAACUUGACAGGCGGUCUACCGGUGCUAUACCAAUGCCGCUUGGCAAACCUCGGGCCAUUCCAAGAAAGUUUAACACCCACUCACAACAAGAGACAAAAGGGGGACGCAGGAGGGCAUAGGAGUGCCGGAUUGCAAAACGGACAACAGGGAAAAAGCUCGGAUGCAUGAGACGAACACGUAUGCAAUGCAAUGCACAUGAUGACAUGAUAAAAUGCAACAAGCAAGCAAAUGACAUGGCAACGACAGCGAAUAACUAGCAAACACCUGGCGCAUCGAAUCUGGGGCGUUACAACACUCCUCCACUAACAAGAGAUCUCGUCCCGAGAUCUUAGGGCCGAAACAGAAGGGAAAAUGGAAGAGGUGAAACAAGAACUCAAAGAAAAAGAAAGGAAUCGAGAGCACUCGAGAAGAAGAGAGGAACGACGAGAAUGACGAGAAUCGAAAGCUCACGGAAUCAGAUAGACUAUGAAACCACUCCGGUUAGAACGAGAUAAGAAACGAAUAAGACUGAAAGGAUUUAGGCAACACUCCGGCUGAAACAUGGGGGAAUAGAACAUGAACUUGAGAGGAUGGAAUGAUACUUGACGAGAUGAACAACACAAAGCCUCCGGAAGAAUUGGAAGAAAGGAAUGAAAUAACUUAGAAGGAAGGGUUGAACGGAGUUGUUGAGAAAAUCAACAACGAAAGAAUAAACUUGUUGUGGUAUUAUAUGUAACAUCUCAGAAAAAAUAUGCGGUGAUAACCGACCACAAAAAGAAAUGAUUGGAUAGCUGAGAGGAACGAAGAAAUGCAAAACUCCACUUCAAAAGAAUAUGGAGAAUUAAUUACACUUCGAGACGCGAGAAGAAAGGAUACUUGAACUCCUCCAACAAAAUCUUGAUGAACUCUUGAAGAAAAGAUUAAAUCAUGAAGAACCACCAUGAAGAACUCCGGUAACAAAAGGAUGAUGAGAUAGAAUGAAGGAUGAAAGAAUAAGAUGAGCCUUGCGAUGAUUUAGAUGGAGGUUCCGACAAAAUGGCUGAGGAAAUUGAACUCCAGAAAAGAAAGGAUGAAAACACUUGGAACUAGAAUCAAGAACAACUCCGAAGGAAGGGAUUAUUCACUUGGAUGAAAUAAGAAUAAGAUUUAUUGUAUGCUUAUCCUUCAUCAAAUUAAAUUGAUGACAAGCAAUGGACUUUUACAUACUACUUAUUCUUCUUGACAAAAAGAUUGAGAAGGGAUAGCACAAAACUUGAUAAGGUCUUCAUGAACCACCAGUAGGAUUGAAAAGAACGAAUGAAUUAAAAUGAUAACCAAGGAAAAGAAUCUGAACGAACCACCAUAAGAAUUCAAAAAUGACUGAUGAAAGGGGUUGAAUCACCUGGAAUAAUUAGAAGAACAAAUAUGCUUGAGGGGAUUUAGAUACAAAAGAACGGGAAGACUUCGAACUGAAUAGAGAGCACUUGAACAAAGCGUCGGGGUAAAUAGAGAACGAUAGCUGGGAUGAUGUCCUCUGAUGAAAUGAAAAGAAAUCAACUCCUGAAAUACUCCGGACGGGUAAGAAAAGAAUAUCUGGCAAGUGGAAUAAUUUGAGACGAUAACAUGAAACUAGAACCGCGAGUCUAUGAGAGAGCGGGCAAGAUUUAGAAGGAACUCUUCUUCGAUCUUCAAAUGACGACGAGAAAACACCACCAAAAUUACUGAGAUACUCUGGGAGAAUGGAAAGCAAAAAGGUUGAGCCAACAAUGAAAUGAUUUGAAAUCGAUCUUGGAGAAGGCAUGUGACUGAUGAAAUCCAUUCUUACGUCACACUUUGAAAAGAAUUGAGAAUAACUCCGGAGAAAUUAGAAGAGUCAGGUAAGAUCCUGGGAAAAGUCUUGUGGGUUAGGGCCCACUAAAGAGAAAACACCGUUGGAAAGAAUUGUUGAAGAGAUAGAUGAUGCACCGAAACAACUGAAAUAUUUGAAUGAGGUGACAACCUCGAAUUAAUUCAAACACAGACGAAUCUCCUGAGAUGUCCUGAGCACUCCGGAAGGAUAAACUGGCGAGAGACGAACGAGCAAGGAAAAACACUUGAGCCGAGGAAAAGAAUAUGAUCAACACCGAAUACUUGAAUUGGGUCCACCGGAAAAAGAAAGGGAUGAAUAAUGACGAACAAGACGAUAAUUCACCGGUUGAAACAAUUGACGAAAGACUGAAGAGGCUCUGCAAGAAUGAAAUUGAUGGUCGAGACAGAGUCAGACUCCGGGAAGAAAAAGGUGGGGUGGCGGGAAACAAAGAAAACGUGGAAGGGGGAACCAACGAAUAACUUGAAGAGAAAAACACCGGUUGAAAUAAUUGAGGAAAGAAAGCAAAGACUUCUCACGAGUAGGAUGGAUACUCGAUUACGGACUCCGGUUCCGAGAAGAAAAUGGGUGGGCGGGCGGGAAAAGAAAACAAUUGAGGAUUGAACUCAAAGAUGAAGAGGCUCGAGUUGACUUGACGAGAAAUGCACCGGAUGAAAAGAGAUGAGAACCAACGAUCGGAAAACCAACUGCGUGAUCCUAAAGAAACUUUGAAAGGGAAGAGGAGUAAUUCAAAACACCUACGUCAGGAUUCCUCACCAGAGCGACGAAGGGGCUGAGGAGUAAAAAGAAUUCCUACUCUCCGAUAUAACUAGACUCAGAAAACAGUUUUCUCCUAGACUCAACAACGGCCAAACUACACGAUCAAUCAAGGGGGGCUCCUAGGGUUGGUCGAGGCUCUGAUACCAACUUGUCACGCCCAAUAUGCGACCCUAUCCAAAAGGAACUCGAAGGUCCCACCAAGGAUAGACCCGCAUAUUGAAACACUUUUGCAAGGUGGAUAUCAUUACAUCAACAUUACAUAAUAGAUGUGGAUACAUACAAGAGGCAUACAAUGCCACACGAAUACAACAUCACAAUACAUUAGAGCAUCAUCCGACUACGGAUGAAACACAGACAGAAACUCAAACGACAUCCACCCUGCUAGCCCAGGCUGCCGACCUGGAACCUAUUCCCUGAUCGAAGAAGCAAAAGAAGAACUCCAAUACAAGUAACAUCGCUCUUGCGUCAAGAUCAUCGCAUAACCUGUACCUGCAACUGUUGUUGUAGUAAUCUUUGAGCCACGAGGACUCAGCAAUCUCAUUACCAUGGGUAUCAAGACUAGCAAAGCUUAAUGGGAAAGGAAGGAGUAAAGUGGUGAAGUUGCAGCAGCGACUAAGCAUAUAUGGUGGCUAACAUACGCAAAUAAGAGCGAGAAGAGAGCAAACGGAACGGUCGUGAAACUAGCAAUGAUCAAGAAGUGAUCCUGAACUCCUACUUACGUCAAACAUAACCCAAAACCGUGUUCACUUCCCGGACUCCGCCGAAAAGAGACCAUCACGGCUACACACGCGGUUGAUGCGUUUUAAUUCGUAUCUGGUGUCAAGUUAUCUACAACCGGACAUUAACAAAUUCUCAUCUGCCCAUAACCGCGGGCACGGCUUUCAAAAGAUUAUACCCUGCAGGGGUGUCCCAACUUAGCCCAUGACAAGCUCUCGCGAUCAACAAAGGAUAUACCUUCUCCCAGGAAGACCCGAUCAGACUCGGAAUCCCGGUUUACAAGACAUUUUGACAAUGGUAAAACAAGACCAGCAAAGCCGCCCGAUGCGCCGACAAUCCCGAUAGGAGCUGCACAUAUCUCGUUCUCAGGGCAACACCGGAUAAGUCAAGCUACGAGUAAAACCAGACCUCGAGUUUCCCCGAGGGGGCCCCACAGGCUGCUCGGUUCGGACCNNNNNNNNNNNNNNNNNNNNNNNNNNNNNNNNNNNNNNNNNNNNNNNNNNNNNNNNNNNNNNNNNNNNNNNNNNNNNNNNNNNNNNNNNNNNNNNNNNNNNNNNNNNNNNNNNNNNNNNNNNNNNNNNNNNNNNNNNNNNNNNNNNNNNNNNNNNNNNNNNNNNNNNNNNNNNNNNNNNNNNNNNNNNNNNNNNNNNNNNNNNNNNNNNNNNNNNNNNNNNNNNNNNNNNNNNNNNNNNNNNNNNNNNNNNNNNNGGAAAUAUAGGUGGUGGUGAGGCAAAUGGUAAAACCAAUGUUGGGCCUUGCUGGAGGACUUUUAUUCAAAGCGAACUGUUAAGGGGGUCCCAUAAAUCACCCAACCGCGUAAGGAACGCAAAAUCCGGGAACAUAACACCGGUAUGAUGGAAACUAGGGCGGCAAGAGUGGAACAAAACACCAGGCAUAAGGCUGAGUCUUCCACCCUUUACCAAAUAUAUAGAUGCAUUAAUUAAAUAAGAGAUAUUGUGAUAUCCCAACAUAAUCUUGUCCACCAUGGAGCAAUCUUCAACUUCACCUGCAACUAGAAACACUAUAAGAGGGGCUGAGCAAAAGCGGUAACAUAGCCAAGCAACGGUUUGCUAGGAAGGGUGUCAAAGGUUAGAGGUUCAUGGCAAUUUGGGAGGCUUGAUGAGCAAAAGAUAGGUAACGUAGCAUAGCGAUAGAACGAAGCAACUAGCAUAGCAAUGAUAGUAGUGAGAUCCAGGGUAGCGGUCAUCUUGCCUGAAAUCCCGCUAGGAAGAAGAACGAGUCCAUGAAGAAGAUGAAUCCACGAAGACGAACCAAGCGUAGACGAACGAAUCCUCACGAUCGUAACGAAAACGGGAACUAUCGAGAAGAAGCACACAACAUGGUAAACACACCACACAUAUACAAGACAUGAUGCACAACAAGCAUGAUGCAUAACAAAGCUAGAUGAAGCUACUCAUGGCAAGGGAUGAUGCAAACAAGAGCAACACAUCAAGGCAAGUUUAAAUGAGGUCGGGAACAACAUAUAACAAUUCCAGUAAGUCCUCAUAUGCAAGUAUCGAAAUUUGUCCAGAUCUGAAUAAACCUUAUGUUCAAGUUGUUAAACAGCAAGUUAAAAUGCACCAUGAUGAUCUACACGAGAUUCUAGUCAAGUUACAUAUAAAGUUUAUUUAAUUCGGAGCUACGCCCUAGAAGAUAUGAGCAAAACAAGUUAAACAUGGCAUUGAUGCAAAAAUGCAUACAAACAUCAAGCAAACACUCCAAAACAAGGAUGCAACAUGAUAAUAUGAAGCUACAUGCACAUUCAAGCAAGUUUCAUAUAGAGCACACUCAAAACGGAGCAACGGUUCAACACACACACUAUACAAUUUUAAAGGACAAGCCGUCCAAAACAGCAACUAGGCAUAUUGCAAGCAUCAAAACAACAUGCUACAACAUCUCAACAUGAAAACAAAAGACAUGUACAUGAUGUACAGGUAAAUCAUAACAAAACAUGAACACUCAGCUAUCUCCAGAAAUCACUAGAACAUGCUCAAACACACAUGGCAAGAUUGCAAAUAAUAACAAUUCAGACUUUGCAGAAAAUAACAUCAGGUUGCAAUGUUUAGAGCUAUCAAACAACAUGUUAUAGGAAAUUAUCAUGGUAAACAAAGGCAUGGAAUGAAACUACUAAUUACAUAGAACAAAAGUCCCUUACUGACAAUAAGUCAAAAAGGAUCAGAAAAUAUGAUGGCACCCAUGUAAACAUAGCAAAUUAUAAUACAGAUUCAUACAUGGCAGGAGCAACGAUAAGAAGGCAUGUUGAUGAGCUUGUACCACUCACCACAGAGCAUUACAUGGCAUGGCAAGGAAACCAACAGUAAGAAGACAUGUUUAUGAAGCUAAGCAUGGCAAGAGCAAGUUCAUAGGGUGCAUGGAUCACUAACAACAAGCAUGGCAACAACUGAACUUAAUGUUAAUAGGCUAACAGCAACAUUAUUUAGCAACUUUGGAGAAAGAUUACAACAAGCUAAAGCAGGCUAUAAUUGCAACCAGGGGCAUGGAUGGAUAGAGCAUAACAUGUAGAACAAAAUACCCUUAGUGAAAAUCUCCAGAUUAUGCAUAGAAUGACUUGUAGCAGCAGGUUUACAUAGCAUCACGAAAUAACAGAUUCAACCUAGCAAAACAGUAACAGCAAGUACCCUACUUAACAAGCUCGAUUCACUCACCACAAGUCAUUGCAUGACAAGAUAAGCAUAGCAUCAGCAGGAAGACAUGUUUAUGAAACAAACCAAGGCAAGAACAAGUUCAUAGCAUGCAAAGAUCAACUACAACAACCUUGGCAAAAUUGAAUAACAUGUAAAAAAUCUGCCAGGAAACAUUUUGUAGCAAAAGUAGAGCAAGAAAAUGACAUGCUAGACUACUCCAUAAUUGCAAACAGGGGCAUGAAUGGAUAGAGAAUAACCACAUGUUCAAAACAUCCUUACUGAAGUAUCUCAAAAUAUGCUUGGAUCUCUCUAUAGCAUCAAGUUUACAUGGCAUCAAAAUAACAAUAGAACAUGGACUAAAAUCAGCAAGAUUACGAAGUCUAGUUUGCAUGCUUGCUUUAGUCACCACAUUGAUCACAAAAAUACAUGGUAAGAACCUCUAUAAAUAUGGCAUGGCAUAGAUCAAAACACAUGUAGACAUCAACCUCAUAGGAUGCAGACAUCAAUCAUGGCAAAAAUGACAAAUGAGCAUAUUAUAACAGUUUCAGCACAUUAACAUCACCUAGCACUCUUGUAAUGAUGAUUCAGGCAUCAAGAUGAGCUCAAAUGAACAUGAUGCAAUGGAAUGAAAUGAAGUACUUGUUGAUACGAACAAUUUGAUUUAUUACACUCACCAAACGGAGCUACGGAUGCAGAGUUACACCAGGUCGAACAUGCACACAUAUUAUGAGUUUUUGAGGACUUGGCAGUUUUUCUGGAAAAAAACACAUACGGGCGCUAUAUAGAUAACAUGCACACGUGGCGAGGGAUAGGGGGCUGCUCACCCACGGGCUUCGGCCCAGUUCGCAGGGGAGGCCAGGCGGGCCGAGGGAGAUGGGCCAGCUGGGCCUGGAUCUGGGAGGCGCGGAUCGGGGCUCCUCUCGAUCCCGAUAGGCGGCGGCGGCGGCGACGGGAGCAGACGGCGGCGACGAGGACCGGCGGGGCGGCGCGGUUCCAGCGUGGCGGCGCGGAAGCCGAGGCCGUCGGAGGCGGGGUCUGGCGAGGUCANNNNNNNNNNNNNNNNNNNNNNNNNNNNNNNNNNNNNNNNNNNNNNNNNNNNNNNNNNNNNNNNNNNNNNNNNNNNNNNNNNNNNNNNNNNNNNNNNNNNNNNNNNNNNNNNNNNNNNNNNNNNNNNNNNNNNNNNNNNNNNNNNNNNNNNNNNNNNNNNNNNNNNNNNNNNNNNNNNNNNNNNNNNNNNNNNNNNNNNNNNNNNNNNNNNNNNNNNNNNNNNNNNNNNNNNNNNNNNNNNNNNNNNNNNNNNNNNNNNNNNNNNNNNNNNNNNNNNNNNNNNNNNNNNNNNNNNNNNNNNNNNNNNNNNNNNNNNNNNNNNNNNNNNNNNNNNNNNNNNNNNNNNNNNNNNNNNNNNNNNNNNNNNNNNGGAAUGGAUGGGGCGGCGGCGCGGGUGACGUGGCACACCAUGAUUGGGCCGGGCGACGUGUCCGGCGGACACGUCCAGCGCGGAUGGACAUGUCCGGCGGCGCGGGGAGGAGUUUGCUAGGGUUAGAUCCGUGAAAAUGGACGGGGAGGACGUUUAUAUAGGCAUAGGGAGCUAGGAGAGUCCAAAUGAGGAGCGGUUUUUGGCCACGCGAUCAUGAUCGAACGGCGGAGAGCAUGGAGGGGGUUUGGAUGGGUUUUGGGCCACUCUGGAGGGGUGUUGGGCUGCAAGACGAAAGGGGCUUUUACUGUUGCCCGGCUAACCGUUGGAGUAUCAAACAGACUCCAAAUGGCACAAAACUUGACAGGCGGUCUACCGGUGCUAUUCCAAGGCCGCUUGGAAAACCCCGGGCCAUUCCGAGAAAGUUUAACACCCACUCACAACAAGAGACAAAAGGGGGACGCCGGAGGGCAUAGGAGUGCCGGAUUGCAAAACGGACAACAGGGAAAAAGCUCGGAUGCAUUAGACGAACACGUAUGCAAUGCAAUGCACAUGAUGACAUGAUAAAAUGCAACACGCAAGAAAAUGACAUGGCAAUGACGGCGAAUAACUGGCAGACACCUGGCUCAUCGAAUCUGGGAAGUUACAGGUGAAUGCUGGACAAGUUAUUGCAUAGGGCAAGUCGCCAGCAUCCCCCAACGUGCAUCCCGCCGCCGUUCGAUGGUGGUCCGGGCGUCUUCCUUGAGUCGCUCUCAAAGAACUUGACAUUGGUCACGACACAUCCGUGGGUCUAACGAUGCUAUGGACAUGUUAUCUCGGGUGUCAACACGACGGGCUGGCCGCGAUGGAGGGGAGUGCACCGUGGUUGCGGCGCCCUCCAACCCUUCCACUACGUGCGCCUGCUCGGUAGCCCGGCGCUGUGAGGGACUUGCCUCCCAGUGGCCAUCCCUGUUGGCAUGGCCAAUAAGGCUUUGUAUGGUAGCCCUCCACUCUUCUUGCUUCUUCAAGGUAGGAGGAAAGUCGAGGAGUAGCUGCGCUCGCGACAGCGCUUCCGCUCGCGUGGAUGGUAGUGACAAGCGCGAGGAAUAGGAGGAACUCGGAGUUCUAACUAUGUUAGAAGGAGUCCCAUCAUGAUUCCGCGGUCGCGCGCUCAUUUUGCCAACAUCAUGGCGUGCAUGCCGACCUUGCGUGUCUUGAGUGACACUGAGGGCUUUUGCCACGGCGACGCCCGGGGUCUUCAACAUUGCGACGCUGUUCGUCGCGCACGAGCUGAGAGGAUUGCGGCGCGUGCAUUGACGGGGUCGACUUCCUGCCCCUGGAGGUCCCCGCGCCACCCGCGGGUAGCGCAGCUCCAUCCUUGGGCGCGGCGGCGCACCGACCGUCAUCACCGGUGCGGGGGAUGCCGACUGCCUGGCUUUUUGUAUUAGGAUGAUGUGGACAAUCUCAAUCUCCUCUAGCACUAGCUUCCGCCACAUCGCCCGCCCGCGCAGGCAUUGGCGGAGCGGCUUUGGAUGGACCGCUCGCUGCGAUCGUCUUCUUCUUCGGCGCCAUGGCGAUGAAGAGACUACCGUACUAACCAACAGACCAGAUUCUCACAACUAACUCCCCCUACCUGGCGCGCCAAAGAUGUCGAGGAAACCGAAUACCUAUGGGGUCACAAGGAUCCCUUCUACGUUUGGCGGGGGAUUGGCUACACGAUGAGCAGGUUGAGCCGUUAGCACACAGUGGAUUUUUACCUAGGUUCGGGCCGCAUAGAUGUGAUACAUGCAAUCCACGCCGAUGGACAUGUAUGCAAAUAAUCAAACUAGGUAGAUGUCUGUGUGCAAGAUGCAAAGAAGGAGUCCUUUUGGACCCUUUUGAUCCUGGCAGUUUGAAGGCACACCUGCUGAUGAAUGGUUUCAUGGAUGGCUAUACUCAGUGGAUAAGUGAAGAAGAUGAUCAUGAUGAUGAGGACAUCCACAUGGCAGGGAAUAACGACAUGGGGCUAGACGAAGAGAUGACCAAUCGACAUGAAGACAAUGGCGGCGGACAUGGCAGCGGGGAAGAGUCCGGAAAAGAUGGCGGCGGAGAAGAUUCCGGACACCGCAUCGAAGAAGAGUCCAUACAUGGCAGAGAAGAGGCGGCGGUCAUGCCAUAGUCUUUGAUGCUACUAAGUGCAGUCGUGCAGGACCCUCAUGUUAGAGACCUUCUUCGCAAGAGUACGACUAGCGAGAGAGCUGCUUCUAGAGAGAAGGCCAAGCCGGCGAAACUUGAAGUAGACUCGAAGACUCCAUUGUAUGACAGUUGCGAUUCCGAGGUGACCCGCUUGAGUUUCACGCCCAAACUUCUAAAGACGAAGGCCAAAAACAAAUGGACAGACAAAAGCCUUGAUGAGCAUUUGAAGUAUCUACAUAAUAAAUUCUUCUCGCGGGGAACCCGUGUCCUACUAGUGUCGAGGAGGCGAAGAAAAUCGUUUUCCCUUUUGAUUUGCCGCACAUUAGGUACCACGCAUGCAUCAACGAUUGCAUCAUUUAUCGGGGGGAGCACGCGGAAAAAACAAGCUGUCUAGUGUGCAAUGCUUCUAGAUAAAAGAAAGAAGGAAAGAAAGCUCCUGAGAAAGUUGUAUGGUACUUUCCGAUCACUCCCCGUCUGCAGCGGUAUUUCGUAGAUCCUAAGGAAGCAAAGCACAUGCGCUGGCACACGGAGAGGAAGAAGCCCGACGCGCAGAUGAUCCAAAGCUGAGACACCUCGUAGAUGGUAGCCACUGGAGAGCAUUCAACACCGUAUAUGGAUUUGCUACAGAAGAUCCAAGGAACAUUGUGCUUAGUGCGAGUACUGAUGGCAUGAAUCUGUUUGGAAACCAUAACACCAACUGUAAGAUCAUAAGUAUGUCUAGAAGGGGGAAUUAGACUACUUGACCAAAUAAAAACCUAGCCUUUUCCCAAUUUUAAUUCUUGGCAGAUUUUAGCAACUUAUCACUAGUCAAGCAAUCAACCUACACAUGCAAUUCUAAGAGUAUAGCAGCGGAAUGUAAAUCAUUGCAUAUGAAGGUAAAUGGGAGGAGUUUGGAGGGAGCAAACACAAUGUAGACAUGUAGAUUUUUGGCGUGGUUCCGAUAGGUGGUGCUAGUGUACAUCCACAUUGAUGGAGACUUCAACCCACAAAGGGUAACGACUGCACGAGUCCAUGGAGGGCUCCACCCACGAAGGGUCCACGAAGAAGCAACCUUGUCUAUCCCACCAUGGCCAUCGCCCAUGAAGGACUUGCCUCACUUGGGUAGAUCUUCAUGAAUUAGGUGAUCUCCUUGCCCUUACAAACUUCUUGGUUCAACUCCACAAUCUUGACGGAAGCUCCCAAGUGACACCUAACCAAUCUAGGAGACACCACUCUCCAAAAGGUAAUAGAUGGUGUGUUGAUGAUGAACUCCUUGCGCUUGUGCUUCAAAUGACAGUCUCCCCAACACUCAACUCUCUUUCACAGAUUUGGGUAUGGUGGAAAGAUUAUUCGAGUGGAAAGCAACUUGGGGAAGGCUAGAGAUCAAGAUUCUUGUGGUUGGAGUGGAAUGUCUUGGUCUCAAUACAUGAGUAGGUGGUUCUCUCUCAGAAAAUGAAUACUGGAAGUGUAGGCACGUUCCGAUAGCUCUCUUCGCAAAUGAAGAGUGGGUGGAGGGGUAUAUAUAGCCUCCACAUAAAAUCUAACCGUUACACAUAGAUUCCCAAACUCGGUGAGACCGAAUAGUGAAACUCAGUUAGACCGAUUCAGUUCAAAAUUUGAAUGUUAGGCUUUUCGGUGGGACCGACAUGAUCAACUCGGUGGGAACGAUGUGCUAGGGUUAGGGUAAAACCUCAACUCGGUUUGAUCGAUUACACAAACUUGGUGAGACCGAUUUUGGUAAUAAGCAAACAGAGAAUUGGUCAAGCAAACUCAGUGGGACCGAUCGCUCAUUUUGGUGAGACCAAAACGAUACGAAAAGGAAACAGGGAGUUUGCACUGCGAACUCGGUGAGACCAAUUGCUCAUUUCGGUGAGACCGAAACAUUACAAGAAGGAAACAGGGAGUGGGACCGAUCGCUCAUUUCGGUGAGACCAAAACAUUAUGAAGGGAAAUAGAGAGUUUGCAAUCCCAUCUCGGUGAGACCGAGAUCCCUAUCGGUGAAACCAAAGUGAUUAGGGUUUGUGGCAGUGGCUAUGUCAAAUGAACUCGGUGGCGCCGGAUAGAUCAAAUCGGUGGGGCCGAGUUUGACUUUUUGGUUUAGGACAUAUGUGGAAAUGAGAAAGUGGCUAAGGGUUUUGGAGCAAUUUUAGUUCAGGAAAUUUAGCAAAUUUGUUUAGGGAAAUUUUAGUUUACGGUAUAUAAUAUCAAUUUAGUUGCUUAGGGCAGUUUAGUGUGGUCAUUUUAGUGGGGUCAUUUCACUCAAUGUACUUGCUUGAAUGAUAUAUUUUGCAAAUGAUAUAUGUCAUUGAUGUUAUAUGAUUUUGCAAUGUUGGUUGAAUGUAGAAAAUUAUCCGAGUGGCCUAUGUUUUGCCGAAAUGUUGAUUUAUUUCCAUUCCAGCAAAUUCCAGGCGCUCCAUAUGUCCACUUUUUAGCAAAGCAUGCCAAAAUUUCCGUGAUUUUUGGCAUGACUUGUGCUAGAAACUAGGACACAUGGAGUACCUGGGAUUUGCCGGGAGGGGAAUGAAUCAACAUUCUGACCAAAUAUAGGCCCCUUUUUUCUCUUCAUUAUAUCUUUUAUUUAUAACUGCUGAAUAGUAAACAUGUCUACCGAAGCCCAAGCCGGGGUUUUUGCUCGCCUCUCAGAAGACCCCAUCGAGGCAGCAAAUCAAUAUUUCGAUUACCUGGACGAACACCAGAUGGGGUUGCAUGGUGGCGGCAGUGGCACCAACCCCGACACCGGCACCAGCACUGGCACCAGCACCGACACUACCCCCGAGACCGACAACGAUGCUGUCGUAGCUGGUAAAGCACCAAAGAAUAAGAGGUCACGAAGACCAAACGAGCUUGGCAUCGGACAAAUUGUGAUCACAGAGAUGCACCCCAAGAAGUUAGAGCCAACGUAGCCGGAGGAAGCGCGCUCGUGCUGGGGCAAUCAACUAGGAUGCAUCCUCAGGGAAACCGCCAACAUCAACGAUGAGAAGUUGAAGAAGAUACCACAUAUGGAGCACAUGCUCCUAAAGAAGUUGCCAAUAGGUUCCUAUUCCCCAGCCGGGAUGAAAGCAAAUAUAAAGAGCCGUGGGACGACGUCGCCAUGACAAAGAUAAAAAAGGUGAUGGUGACGUUCACCAACGACUUGUCCUCCUGGAAAGUUCGGGUGAAAAAAGUGAUUGGGAAGAAUGAACCGUCGUCCAAGAUUCAUGCUGAUAUUCCGUCAAUAAUGGAAGAGGAAUUUCAAAAAUUCAAGGAGAAUUGCGGUAAAGAAGAAGUCAAGGCAAGGUCGGAGAAAAUGAAGGCACUCUAGGCCAGGAACACGCCUCCCCACCGCCUCGGAAGCCGUGGUUACGAGGGGAAGAGGCACAUAUGGGCCAAGGAGGAUGCCGAACAUGAAAGUCAUGGAAUCCCAGACCCCUUGGCAGAGUUCACCGACCCGCUAGAGCAUGACUGGAUCAGGGCCCAGUACAAGUGGGGCCGCAUCAAAAAGAGCUUUUACAUGGACCCAAACAUGAGGGAGUUCAUGAGACUUCUGGUAAUUGUUAUAUUACCACAUUAUCAUUUUAGCUUCCAAUCAAUUCGACUACAGGUUUUGUCACAUUAGUAAACCAUCUGCGUUCCUUUUGCAGAAAGAGCAGUACCAAAAGGCAGCUGAAAGCGAUGAGUCAUCAUAGUCGUCGGCGAGGCCCAAGUGGGACACCCCAUUUAAUCGGGCCCUAAACAUACUGAAAAAGGUCCCGGUGGACAAGCACCCGUCCUAUAGAUGUGUGCACAGCGUCAGAGAUGGCGCCGCGUGGAAGACGUGCUACCGCGAGGAGCCAGAGGAAACAAGGAAGUGACGGUUGGUCAUCACUCAGCAGACCAUCAACGAGAAGGUCGCGAUUGCGGUCAAUAAGACCAAAGCUGAGACCAAAGAAGAGUUUGUCGGGAUAGUUCGUGGGUUGGUCACUAACGCGGUGCCCAGCUUGAUUCCGGCGAUUUUCAAUUGGUUGAAGAGCAGUCCAAAUGCAUGGCCGGAGGACCGCAUGUUCCACAACUGAGAGAUGCCCGAUGGCGUCUUCAAGGUUAACGUGGCCAGUGUCUUAGAUGGCUUCGAGGAUUUGCCUCCUCCGAUACCAGUCGACGAAGAGGAGACCCCUACGAGGAUUGGUGCAUGCAAGAGCUGGUUCUUGCCUUGGCUGAAGUCUCUUCUUCGUCUCGAGGCGCCAUUAUCACACCAACGCCACCUUCUCAAGAAGGUAUGAGCACCACCCCACCUACCAAAUUACCUACACCUGUCAUGGAAGGUGAUAGCGUACGAUGCGAGGGAGAGCCUCCAUUAGAGCCAGAUUAUGUCUCCCCCAUUGUCGAAGAAGCAAAUGCUGAUGAUGACAUGGAGGAGGAUGCUGAUGACCCAGACAAGUAUUUCAAUACUGCCUAUGAUGAUGGAGGUUUGAUGGAUCAGGCCGAGGAAGACUCAGGCUAUGAGCGUGGAGAUGAUGACUUGAUGCCGCCUGAUUUGCUGGAGCCAGAACAUCCUAAGGCGGAAUGCAAAAAGUGUCUCUUCAAGCUAUCCUCACAAGAGACGCCUCCAGAUGCCACCCAUACCCAGCAACACACCGAGGACUGUCCAUUGAUUAGCCUGACGACACUAGGAGUGGUGGUUAGGGAAGGUAUGGUGGGUCACUACCACCCGCCAAGAAGCAAAGGAAGAGACCGCCCAGGAAAGGCCCUAAAGGCGCCAGAGGUGCUUUAAGCAGCCAGUCGCCUCUGAAGCCCCGGGUGGUAGACAGAAUACCUGUUGAAGGUGUGAAGUGUUUCCAUAUCGCCGGUGAGCCGAUACUACCUGCCAAAGUGCUAGAGCACAUACUGAACAAUGAUCUAUGGAGACUCCAUGAAAAUGUGCUGGCCAGAGAGAAAAGCCUUCUUAUCGAGGAAAAACCAGGAAGUUGUACGUCGAGACCUGGCCCGCGAAUUAGUUCAUCAUGAAAUUUGACUACACCUACGACAUGUUCCACAUGACCAAGCUGGAUUUCCAGUUCAUCCGCAUGUAUGCGUUGUAUCUCAACUACUUCAUCAGGAUCGAGAACAUAAAAUAUGUCUGCGUCUCGGACCCGUACUAUAUGCACGAGAGCUUCUUAGUAGUUUGCAAAGAGCACUGUGACUAUGCGAGCAAGUACCUCGGCGAAUUCAUGAUCGCUAAUAAGGACAAGGAAGCGAUUCUCCUGCAUUAUCAUCCCUAGUAAGUCAUCCAUGCAUAUCCUUUCGAAGGUGUUAAUCAUUCCUUUGCAAGCAUGAAGGAUAAUAUGAAGUGUACUUAAUUUGCACAGAGGAGGCGCCGUCCUCAUCAUUCUGUACCCGGAAUACUCCCAUGCUAUGUACUUGCACUCAUCGAAUAACCUUAAGAAAAAGGAUUACACGCACGUAAAGAGUGUUCUCGAUAGUGCCCUGUUAACCUUCAGCCUGUCUGGUGGAUAUAUCAAGGUGAAAAGGCCCAGGAAGGAUGGGCUGGUUUUCCGCCAUAAGACCAACUUUUGCUGCAUGCAGCAACCGCACACCAGUAGGGCUGAUGGAUUCUACCUCAUGCAUCACCUGCUCGAGUAUAGAAGGGAUAAUCAACGCCUUCACAUGUGAGCUACUACCAAAGAUGCCGAGAUUGUCAGCUGGGCUACAAAUAUAGGAAAGAGACUGGAUCAUCGAAUCCGAGCUGAGGUUUAUCACGUACAGUGUGAACUUGCCCAAGUGAUCAUGAAGCAGGUCCUCGAACCAACGGGGAUGUUCUACCAUGAGCCAAUCACGCGGGUUGAUGUCCAAGCACUACUAGUCGCUCAGUGUCUGGACUUGAAGUCUUUCAAGAAGCUCGGGUGCUUCCUCCCUGACUAUGAAGAUUGGACCGCCGACAUGGAGGACUGAUUGUCGAUGACAAUGUGUCACUACUGUCUUUCUAUCGCCAAACUUUGGAUUAUGCACGGCAAAACUAUGUGAUGUAAUUAAACUGCAUGGUACUGAACUAGCAUAGGUCGCUCUAGUUAAUUAGUUUGGGUAUGAGGAACUUUGUCAUUUAUGUUUACUAUAAGUUUCUUGUCUUUUGCUAAUUAUGCCUCUUUGUUUUCUUAAGUACAUUAUGUUGCAUAUUAUCGUUCAAUUCAUCAACUGGUGAUGCACGUACAUAGAUCAGAAAUGGCGAAGGACUGCUAUGCCGUGUUCGCUGGGAGUGUUCCAGGGGUCUACGACCACUGGCCAGACGCUCGGGCUCGGGUGGACAAGUACUCGGGUGCUAGCCACACAGGGUUCGAUAGCAGAGCCGAAGCGGAAUGUAGUUACUUGAGGUGGACACUCCGGCAUGAGCGGGGGCGGGACUGCCGGUGCCUCAAGUAGUACAUAGUCGCGCUCCUACUCAUGCUGAUCGCUCUUCUCUUCUACAUCAUGGUUUAGAUAGAGAUGAUUAAACUUGUGUGUGCCAUGACCAUGCAGUUGUACUUAUUCGAGACAUGACAUGACUUGUGUAUUGCUAUUUUCGAGAUGUGAUGAUUUGUCUUGAAUGAUGAUGAUGAUGGUAUGAUGAGACUAUUGUAUGUCAAUGAUACGAUGAGAAUAGUGUACGUUUAGUAUGAUCUGAUGAAACUAUUGUAUAGAGUCUAUAUAUAUACAUCACAAAUACAUAGAGGGGGUGUAAAUCUGUUAAAGCAGGAAUACUAGCAGUAGCGCUGGAAGAACCUACUAGCAGCACUGGAUUAUCAGCAGCGCUUGGUUUCUUCAAGCGCUACAGAGAGUUAGCAGUAGCAAUGGACAGAGCAGCGCUAGUGCUAACCAAACUUACCAGUAACGCUACCCAUACCAGUGCUACUGCUACAACUUAGUUGUAGCGCGCUAGCAGUAGCGCUGGACCCAGCGCUACUGCUAUGUAUAUUUCAAGUGCUACCACUAGGGUUUUCCCUAGUAGUGCAAGGUCCUCCUCGUCUUCAAUAUCAAAUUCUGGAAGAAUCAUAUGAUGAACUUAUCUACCAUAUUGAAUUUAAACUAGUCUAUAAAAACUAAAAACAACAUGCACCAAAUUCAUGUAAAAAAUGUGAAGUUGAAGCAAUACAUACCUUGCAAGCGUUUUGUCGAACACCUUGUGGGCACCGAUCGGAAGUGGACGGUCAAGCGCUAUUCGUCAGAGAAAUGGCGCGCAUGAGGGACGGCGGUGACUAGAGGAAGGCGGAGGAAGCAGCGGAGGCGCGGGGAUAGGCCGGGGAAGCACCGUCGGGUCGCCGGAGCAAAUGAGAUGGUGUGGGCGGCGGCGCCCGCGCCUAUAUUGGCGGUAGGUGAAAGCCGCGGCGCGCGCGCUCGAGUGUGCAGCACGCGGGAGUGGGCGCAUGAAAUAAGCGGCGUGUAAUGCCAUUUCAAUUCGCGUGCUGAACCAAUUAUGCCACGCGUGCGUUUUCUGCGGCUCCGCUGAAGCGCCCGAAACGGCAGCGCGCCUGCAAAAAAUGAAAGUUUUUUAGCGCGACGCUAAUAUCGCGCGCCUGUUGGAGAUGCUCUAACCAUGCGUCAUCAGACACCUCAAGCUCUAGUAUGAGCUACACAUGCAUGCAUGACCAGUCUCUUGCGAAAGAAAAUGUGUGCUUCAUUGGCCGUUUGUUUGGGGAUGACCUAGUCACUGUGAGCUCAUCAGAGAAGGAGCAGUUGCUAUAGAUGUCUAUUUUGACGACCCGACGGUGCUCCACUUGCUAGUGACACAAAUCACUCUCUCCAAAUGCAUGCUAUUGAGCAUGGUUUUAUUUACCAAAAAAGGCUUUCACCCUACUUUAUAGAUAAAGCAAACUGCCAUAAAGCACCAGUACACGAGAAGGUUCACACCACACACACACAAGUCUCACAACACAAAGUACAAGAGGUUCUACUGAGGGCACAGCUCAACAAGACCAAAUAAAAAAUAGAAGGGAGUCGGAGAGGAAGCCCGACCCCUAAUCUGGAUCAGGAGGUGGCGGAGGGAGCGACGGUGACAAACGGACAACCAUCGAGCGGAGGUCAGCGAUGAUGGCAGAAAAGGCAUCACGGUCCUGUGGGUGGCUAAGCGGCCGCCAAAGCUGCAAGUAACCAGAUAGUUUGAAGAGGGUGUCAGUAGCAUGUCGAAGCAGAAUGCGCUGAAUCACAAGUCUAUUGCGGAUCGUCCAGAGGGUCCAAGCGAGGGUCCCAAUCUCCAGCCACCUAAUGUGGCGAGAAUGUGUGUGUGUGUGGGGGGGGGGGUGGAGGCCUGGAGUUCAGUGAACAUGUCAGGCAAAUUGGUGUGGCACCAAUUGCCACCAACCACCUCUCUAAAAUAGUCCCAAAGAAAUUGGGCGGACACACACGAGAAGAAGAUGUGAUUCCAGUCUUCGGGGACACCACAAAGCGGACAAAGGACACUACCUGGGCCAUUGCGCUUACGGACCUCCACACCAGACGGGAUCCGUGGAAUCCAUUGCCACAUGAAGAUCUGGAUCUUCUGGGGAAGGCGGACUGGCCAAACCGCCCUAAGGGGAGGGGGCGAAGGAGGGGGCAAUGGCCCGGUAAAGGGACUUGGUGGAGAACUGUCUCGAUGGCUCUCGGCGCCACCUAACGAGAUCCGGGCCAGCGUGAACCAGAGGCUCGUGGAGGGCAAUGCAGUCAAGCAGCUCCUGCCAGGCGGCAGCAUCCGGAGGCCCAAAUGGUCUCCGGAAGGCGAGGCGCCCUAAGUCAAUAAGGACCCUCUCAACCGAGAGCCUAGGAUCAACGACGAUGGAGAACAGGUCGGAGAAGCGUGCAGUGAAGGGGGAGUCUCUGAGGUAGUCCUGGAUUAAGGGGUCCUCAGAUAGCCGGACUAUGCACAUGGUCCGGACUGUUGGGCUGUGAAGAUACAAGAUAGAAGACUUCGUCCCGUGUCCGGAUGGGGCUCUCCUUUGCAUGGAAGUUAAGCUUGGCGAUUCGGAUAUGUAGAUUCCUUUCUCUGUAACCGACUCUGUGUAACCCUAUCCCCCUCUGGUGUUUAUAUAAACCGGAGGGUUUAGUCCGUAGGACAACAACAAUCAUAAUCAUAGGCUAGCUUUUAGGGUUUAGCCAUUACGAUCUCAUGGUAGAUCAACUCUUAUAAUAAUCAUAUUCAUCAAGAUCAAUCAAGCAGGAAGUAGGGUAUUACCUCCAUAGAGAGGGCCUGAACCUGGGUAAACAUUGUGUCCCCCGCCUCCUAUUACCAUUAGCCUUAGACGCACAGUUCGGGACCCCCUACGUGAGAUCCGCCGGUUUUUACACCGACAUUGGUGCUUUCAUUAAGAGUUCCACUACGUCAUCAUCAUAAGGCUUGAUGGCUCCUUCAAACAUCUAUAACAAUGCAGUCCAGGGUGAGGUCUUCCUCCCCGGACAGAUCUUUGUAUUCGGCAGUUUCGCACUGCGGGCCAACUCGGUUGGCCAUCUGGAGCAGAUCGACAGCUACGCCCCUGGCCAUCAGGUCAGGUUUGGAAGCUUGAACUACACCGCUGACAUCCACGGAGACUUGAUCUUUGACGGAUUUGAACCCAUAAUAGCCGCACCCUGCCGCCACGAUGAACACGACCUAAAUCUGUCAUCGGACUAUGUGCACGAGAUAGCGCCUAUAACCGCUCUGGCCCUAGAUCCUGAGCAGAUCGCGCCAUCCAAGGACGGGAGGCUCAACCCCGCCAUGGAAACCGCAGACUCAACGACACUGGAGCCAAACACAGAUCUUACCACCAAUGAGGCCUGUGUCAUCGGAACCUCAAACUCGUCUCCGGCCAUGGGCUUCGAACCACGUGUAUCUGCGCCCAUCAAAUCUGAAUGGGCACCGAUCUUGGAGUUCAGCUCCACGGACAUCUUCCAACACUCACCCCUGGGUGAUGUGUUAAACUCAUUGAAAUCCCUCUCCUUGUCAGGAGAUUCUUGGCCGAACUAUGUCUGGCUUGAGUGGGAAGCGAACGAUGAAGAAUUUCGUCACCCACCCACCACCCACUUGAUAGCCACUGUUGACGACUUAACCGACAUGCUUGAUUUCGACCCCGAAGACAUCGACGGUAUGGACGAUGAUGCCGGAGAAGAACAGGAACCACCGCCCAUAGGGCGGUGGACAGCCACCUCCUCAUAUGACAUAUAUAUGGCGGAUACACCAAAAUAAGACAAUGGAGAUGACAAAAAGGAUUCAGUUGAGGACAAACCUCCUGAGAAGCAGCCGAAGCGCCAAUGUCAGCGGCGCUGCUCUAAACCAUGCCAUGGUAAAAACAGCGAUAUUGACACAAGAGAAAAUAGCACUCCGGACGAUGCCGAAGACAACGAAAACCCCGCCAAGCCAAGUUUUGAAUAAGAUGAACAGGAAGACGGGCGAGCCAGCCCUGAUGAACAGGCCAUGAACAAAGACUCGGAGGACAGUAAUUACACGCCUAUCUCCAAGGACGAGGUGAGCCUCAGCGACAAAUAAUUCAUUGUGCCUGAGGAUCCCGUCGAGCAGGAGUGUUUUAAGCUCCAGCUAAUAGCCACUUCAAAGAGCCUGAAGAACAAGUAGCAGCAGCUUCAAGCCGACCAAGAUCUGCUCACUGAUAGAUGGACCGAGGUCCUGGCAGCCGAGGAAUAUGGACUCGAACACCGAACUAAAAGUUACCCGAAGUGCAAAUUGCUACAUCAAGUCGAUGACUAGGCGCUGGAGCCCGCACUACCAGCGCAUAAUGCGGCUGACACAAGAUAAAGCGGCAACUCAGCCCGAACACCAGCCCGCACCAUGUCGCCGAACAAAUAGAAACACAACAGCUCGGGGAUACACACAUGACCUGAUGUACGACCUGGAAAAUAGAGCAGGAUAGACCAGAUCGAUCUAUGGAUCGCGAGGGUGCGCCCCAAUGCGCAACGACAGCCACCAAGCCGGAUAUAACAAAUACAAACCCGUCCAGGCCGAAUACCGCAGACCAGCUUCAUCCGAGCUGCGUCGCGACGUAACCCGACAUAGAGGCACCAGACACCCCCUAUGCUUCACUGAUGAAGUCAUGGAACAUGAAUUCCUAGAAGGGUUUAAACCCGUAAACAUUGAAUCAUAUGACGGAACAAUAGAUGCCACAUUAUGGAUUGAGGACUUCCUUCUCCAUAUUCAUAUGGCCCGCGGUGAUGAUCUCCAUGCCAUCAAGUACCUUCCGCUAAAACUUAGGAGACCAGCUCGACACUGGUUGAACAGUCUGCCCGAAAACUCUAUUGGCAGUUGGGAGAACCUGGAAGACGCAUUCCUUGACAACUUCCAGGGCACCUAUGUCCAACCUUCGGAUGCCGAUGACUUAAGUCAUAUAAUCCAAUAGCCCGGAGAGUCAGCCAGGAAAUUCCGGACUCGGUUCUUGACUAAAAAGAACCAGAUCGUCGACUGUCUGAAUGCUGAAGCCCUAGCGGCCUUUAAGCAUAACAUCUGUGACGAAUGGCUUGCCCGACACCUCGGCCAAGAGAAGCCGAAGUCCAUGGCAGCCCUUACGACGCUUAUGACCCGCUUUUGUGCGGGUGAAGAUAGCUGGCUAGCUCGUAGCAACAGCACCUCAAGUAUACCUGGCACUUCCAAAGCCAGAUAUAGCAACGGCAAGCCCCGAUGCAGCACACACAAGCGUUGAAAUAAUGGCGACAACACCGAAGACACAGCUAUCAACGCCGGAUUCAGUGGCUCUAAGUCCGGUCAACGGAAGAAGCCAUUUAAAAGAAACAAUCCGGGCACGUCCAGUUUGGACGGCAUACUCGAUCGUCCAUGUCAAAUCCACGGCACCUUCGGUACGCCAGCUAAUCAUACCACCAGCGAAUGUUGGGUCUUCAAACAGGCCAGCAAGUCAAAUGCUGAAAGCAAAGAGAAGGGGUUGCAAAGCGAUGACAAUGACGAGGAGCCCCGUUCACCGAAAACAGGAGGACAAAAGAAGUUUCCUCCACAAGUCAAAAUGGUGAAUAUGAUAUACGCCACCCAUAUCCCCAAGAGGGAGCGGAGGCGCACACUCAGGAACGUCUACGCGAUGGAGCCAGUCGCCCCAAAGUACAACCCAUGGUCGUCCUGUCCGAUCACCUUUGAUUGUAGGGACCAUCCGACCAGUAUCCGUCACGGCGGUUCAGCCGCACUGGUGCUCGACCCAAUCAUUGAUGGAUUCCACCUUGCAUGAGUCCUUGUGGACGGUGGAAGCAGCCUGAACCUGCUCUAUCAGGAUAUAGUUCACAAGAUGGGUAUAGAUCCUUCAAGGAUCAAGCCCACAAAAACCACCUUUAAAGGUGUCAUACCAGGUGUAGAAGCCUGUUGUAUGGGCUCAAUCACACUGGAAGUGGUCUUCGGAUCCCCGAAUAACUUCCAAAGCGAAGAGGUAAUCUUUGAUAUCGUCCCCUUAUGCAGCGGCUAUCACACACUGCUCGCAAGAACCGCAUUCACCCGAUUCAAUGCGGUUCCACACUAUGCUUAUCUUAAGCUCAAAAUGUCCGAUCCGCAUGGUAUUAACAGUCAAUGGAAACACAGAACGCUCCCUCGAUACUGAGGAGCACACUGCUGCCCUCGCUGCAGAAGCACGGAGCGGUCUCUUCAGGUUGAACCUCAAUUUGGCGGCCAAGCUCCUGGAUACUGUCUAAAGAGUCUGAACUACACCGCAGCAGGACAAUCUAGCUCGCCAAGAGCUUGACUAGCAAUCCGGCCUCCGUCCUAACCCCGACCAAACAACGACUUUUGUACCGCGCGUACAUAAUUACGCACUCAAAAUACCAUGGGGAUAGACGGAGGCAUAGCUAGGUUGUGUUCCACAAUGCGGCUUAAUCACCCCUGGACAAGCAUUAUUUUAUAUUUUCCUUUUUUCUUUCAGGUCACUUUUUGUCCAGGCCGUUAUGGGCGGCCUGAUUGCUGGACCUAUCAAAGGACGGAUACACCACAAAGGGAAGUAGCUCGAACGGGCGAGGGAAUCUCUAGAUAUCCUUUUCGAGGAUCAUUCCAUCUGUCUCUGGAUCGGCACGCAGCUCCCCCGUGGUCACAGCAGGUUCCGAAGUCAUAUUGUUUAUUGCACUACUUGUACUUACAUGCUUUGACGUAAUAUUAAAUUACAAUGAAAACAAUUUGCGGCCCUAUCUAUAUGACAUUCACUUAUUGUUUCAUUUUUUGAUAUGUUUGUCAAAUAGCAGCUGUACACUCUGGUACGCCUUAAUUCGCCAGGGGCUUCAUUGUACCCCAUAACACGGCAAGAAAGUCUAAACACCUUCACGGUUGUUCGGCACCCCGAACUUAUAGCAUUAUAUGCAUCGGCUCCGAAUCAUGUCUUGGGUUAAUAGUAAAGGGAGAACUACUGCGAUUGUGUCCCGGUUCUUCCGGACGAGCACCUUAGUAGAGAAAGCCGAAAACUGACUGUCAUGAUGCGGCAAGAGCUGGUCAGCUGUUCGAGAGGUCAUAAAAUCUUUAGCGAUUUCUUCCGCAUUAUGCGAUAACUAAUGCAUCAUGCAGCGGAUCAGUUUUUAUCCGAUCAGGUGUUUUACAAUACCCCACGUUUGGUCUUCCGAACACUAGGGGCUGCGCCUACCUUUCUUUUGUCAAACUCCCAUGGCUAAGUGAGGGUGAUAAAGCCUUAUAGUCCGAUUGCCUGGUUUGUUGCGCUAAACACCUCCUUUAAGGACCAAAAUCUGGGGUAAAGAGUGUUUAGAUUUAUCCCGAACACCCCCGUACUUCCUACGUGGGGGCAGAAGCUGAUGACUGGCCAACUCUCAGAAUUAAUAUAAAAACGGCCGCACAGGAGGUAAAAAUUCAAAUAACAAGCUGAAGGAAAUAUGCCCUAGAGGCAAUAAUAAAGUUAUUAUUUAUUUCCUUUUAUCAUGAUAAAUGUUUAUUAUUCAUGCUAGAAUUGUAUUAACUGGAAACAUGAUACAUGUGUGAAUACAUAGACAAACUGAGUGUCACUAGUAUGCCUCUACUUGACUAGCUCGUUUAUCAAAGAUGGUUAUGUUUCCUAGACAUGGACAAAAGAGUUGUCAUUUGAUUAACGGGAUCACAUCAUUGAGAGAAUGAUGUGGUUGACUUGACCCAUUCUGUUAGCUUAGCACUUGAUCCUUUAGUAUGUUUGUCGUGGUGGGCGCACGGCAGAUGCCAAGGGAUGGCUAAAGAGAGGAGGAGGCUCGAGGGCGCUGGUGGGCUUCGGAGGUGAGGUUGAUAUGCGCGGGCGCGGGACGCCGGACAUACCCAGGUUCGGGGCUCUCCGGAGAGAUAACACCCCUAGUCCUGCCGAGUUUAGUUGGAUGGUCGAUAGUACAAUGUCGCUCCUGGAGAUGUAUGGAGGAGGAAGGAGGCUGGCCAAGGCUUGGGCUGCUCAUUCUCCCUGGCGUUGCUAUGUAGUGGCUAGUCCUAUCUUGCUUGCUUUUGCAUGCCGGGGAUCUUACAUGUCAUAUCUCUCAUGCCCCUGUGGGCGUGGGCUCCUGGGGGGUUUUAUAAAUCAACCCACCCAGGGGUACAAUGGUAAUAUGCCGAGUCGGUGGGUCCGUAUUGUCGGUGUCCGGGGUUCCGGGUUGGGUCCUGUUGGGGAUAUUACCACUGGGCGUGAACCGGCCUACCUGGGCCGGGUUAGCUUCAUUAGUAGUUAAAAGGUGAUUAAGCAGAUGAAGGCCCAAGGCCUGUAGUCGGUUUAGAACCUGUAGCCGCAAACCGGCUUGAUAUGUAAACUUGCAUUGUAAGUUAGGAAUAGAGAGAGACCAACCGGGUUACGAGUAUGAACCGGUGUGGGACUCUGUGGACCGACGGGCGUCACCCGUGUAUAUAAGGGGACGACCCGGCGGCGGUUCAAGGACAGACAACAACAACUCGAGCCUAGGCGAAGCUUGUUUGCUCCCUAGCCAUCGAAACCACAUCAAUUCCAUCACAACUAGACGUAGGCUUUUACCUUCAUCUAAGGGGCCGAACUAGUAUAAACCCUUGUGUCUUUGUGUCCGCUUUAACCCCUUCAAGUUAACCCGUAGCGAUGGCUCCACGACUAAGUCCUUUCACAAGGACAUCUGCCGUGAAAAAUCCACCACAGUUGGCGCCCACCGUGGGGCUAUCGCACGACGGUUUGAUGAUCUUGGAGGGUAAGCUCAAAGGACUCGAAGGCUAUGCUGUGGGCUGGAUGACCAAGAGUCGUCACGGCAAGCUCUACAUCGACGAUGCAGGAUGGGGUCCCGAAGCCGGCUCGAUCGAGUACGGGUACCUGGUCCCCUUUGGUGGCAUACACGUUUUUAUCGGCAAGAUUGGUGAGCCUGGGCCUGAACCGGACAUCCACACCGACCUUGUCGAGACGGCUCAGCACGCGAGAUCUACCCAGGUUAAACCGGCCAUGAGGCGUGCCUUCGUGGGAGUCAUCCACGGAGAAGAGCAUGAGGACGAGUCAGAAUAUGGUAGCGAGACCGUCGUCUAUUCCGGCGACGAGUCCUCAACCGGAGAGACCGAAUCAUUGUACCAGUUGCAAGAUGACCAGAUUAGGGGCUGUUCCGAUGGCGACAGUGUUCCGGACCCCCCAGAUCAGAUCAACCGGGUUGGAAUAUUCAUGGCCGACACGCAGGCGGCGAAUCACUCUUCGACCGCAGCAGCAAUGCUCUCCGGAUCAGCAGCGGCAGUGGCAGCAAGGGCAGGAGGCCUUGUGCCCCCACCGGUUCAAGUUCUGUCUGACCUGUUUGACGCACUAGCGGUACUUAUGGCAGAGGCCAAUCUGGCGGAUCAGGAGGCCCAUGAUGCGGAGAUUGCAAAGGUGAGAGAGCAGAUCGUACAGGCCAAAGCAGACCUAGCAGCAGAGAAGGACAGGAUGGCUGCAGAGCGGGCCGCUUUAGACGCCUAGGCCUAUAAGCUCAUGCUCGACCAGAACGCAUCACAGGAGGUCUUGAAGCGGAAGCACAGAUCACGCCUGCCAUUAGGGUUCGACCCUCGAAAUCUCUUACACACUCCGAGAGCUGGAACCAGUAAUCUGCCGGGGCACCUGGAGGUAAACCGGGUCGAGGCACCAGGGCCAGGAGCGACGGUCCAACCCCGCCUGAUGGAACCUCCUCGGCAGAACAUUGUAAUUCCUCUGCCGGUCCAGACACCUCCGGGUCAUUAUUCUAAUCCUAUGGACAAUCUUGUCGCAGCUGCUGCGCGAUUAGAAGCUAUCCCGGUCGAAGGAGACUCUCCACAAACAAUAGAGACGCGCCGGGUUAAGGAACUUCUCUGGACCGCUUUGAUUCAACAGGAGGCAUAUUCAUACAACCGCGAUCGGAUUCAUUCCACACCUCGUCCAAGCCGGACCUAUAGUAGGUGCCUGGAUGAACCGGCCAUAUCAAGCAAUGCACGGGGACGUGAAGCGGCCCGUGGCAAUAACCCGACCAGUGGUGUUCACGAUGCUCAGGAUGUAGUGGACCGGGCCCGGGCACGAAGGGAGGCCGAGUUAGCAGCAUAGAACGAGGCGAAUCAGCUUACACCGGUUCGUCCUACCACCUCUGCCGGGCCAAGGGUCGCAUCUAGCUUGGGAGUGCCCUGUUUAGUCCCCGCUUUACGCAAUGUACGCCUGCCCAAGGACUUCAAGGGCCCGCGCAAGGUGCCAAAUUACACCGCUGAUUUAUCUCCAGAAGCGUGGGUAGAGAGUUAUGAGAUGGCAAUGGAGAUGCUGGAUGUGGAUGAGACCGCGUGUGCAAAGUACUUCACCAUGAUGCUUGAAGGCACAGCCCGUACUUGGUUGAAGAGCCUGCCGCCUAAUUCUAUCAGUUCAUGGGCCCAGUUGCGGACCCGGUUUAUCCAGAAUUUCAAAGAUACGUGUAAGUAGCCUAAGUCCAUAGUAGACUUGGUGGCUUGUGUUCAGGAGGACAGAGAGUCAACAACCCAUUGGGUACGCCGCAUUUCUGAAGUCUUGCACUCGUCUGACAGGAUCAAUGCUGACUCUGCGAUCUUAACCCUGGAGGGCAACUGCCGGUUUAAGCCUCUAAAGUUGAAGUUGGGGCGUAUGAAGCGGUUCUGUAAUGACAUGGGAACUCUCAUGGCCGCUUUAGUGAAGUAUGCUGAUUCUGAUAGUACCAAGGAUCCCGAGACUGACGAUGACGAAGCUGGGAAGGGAAAAAAGAAUAGCAACUCUAAGGGGCAUCAAUACAAACCGGCGGGCCAUGGAAACGGAGGCAAGCGUAAAGCGGAUGGCAACAUGGACUUUGUGGCUAACACUAAUGCGCAGGACAAGGGUCAGCGGUGCAGAGGUAAAGCGGCGAAUCAUAAUGGGGCUCCAAAUCCUAACCCGGAUCGCUUAAAUUAUUUGCUGAAUCAGCCUUGUCCAAAACACGGGACGAAGGAGGCGCCGGCUAACCACCUUUGGAAGGAUUGUUACAUUAUGCAGGAAUUUAAAAACUCUAAUGCCUUCCGGUAUGACCGUGGGUCAGGUGGUGGCUCAGGAUCCGGUUUCCAUGGGCCGGGUCACGAUGGAGCUUCCGGUUCAGGUUUCAAUCAGGGCGGUAAUAAUAACCAGGAUAAUCAGAGCGGUCAAGGGGGUUACAACCAACAGCAGCAGCAGCAGCGGUCGGGUUAUCAGAGCCAGCCAAAACUGUUGAACAAUGGGCAGUAUCACGUUUUCACAACUAGCUUGGAUAAGCGCGACCGGAAACUUCACAAGCGAGCAGUGAACUCUGUUGAACCGGCCGUACCGCGUUAUUUACGCUGGUCGGAGCAGCCUAUCGUGUGGAGCAGGGAGGAUCACCCCCCCGGGUUGACAAUCCGGGCCAGUUGGCAUUAGUGGUAGACCCUCAGGUGGGAGGUUAUAAAUUCACUAAGGUACUCAUGGAUGGAGGGAGCAGUAUUAACAUCCUAUACUAUGAGACAUUCCGCCGCAUGGGGCUAACAGACAAGGAUCUCAAACCGUCUAAUAUGGUGUUCCAUGGUGUGGUGCCUGGCAAAUCAGCGUAUCCUGUUGGUAAGAUAGCUUUGGAGGUGGCUUUUGGGGACGAGCAUGAUUCCCAAUCUGAAACACUAACCUUUGAGGUAGUGAAAAUUCGGAGCCCGUAUCACGCCUUGUUUGGGCGGCCGGCUUAUGCCAGAUUCAUGGCACGACCUUGUUAUAUCUAUUUGCAGCUCAAGAUGCCAGGUUACAAAGGGACAAUAACGGUUCAUGGGAGCCGCAAGAUUGCUUUGGAAUGUGAGGAAGGUGAUGCGGCCUAUGCAGAGUCAGUUUGUGCCACAGAGGAGUUGAAAUAUUAUAGGGACAAUGUUGAUCCGGCGGACAUGACCCCUUUGAAGAGGCCGACUACGGAGCAUGAUUCAGAUCUGAAGUUCAAAUCGGCGGCUGAGACCAAGCUUGUUGACUUCGUGCCCGGCGAUUCGUCCAAGCAGUUCACUGUCAGUGCCAACUUGGACCCUAAAUAGGAAAGCGUGCUCAUCGAGUUCAUCCGUGAGAAUUGGGACAUUUUUGCAUGGAAGCCUUCUGACAUGCCAGGUGUACCAAGGGAACUCGCUGAGCACACUCCUAAUGUUGAUCCCAAGUAUAAACCGGUAAAACAGUUUCUCCUCCGGUUUAACGAAGAAAGGCGCAAAGCUAUUGGAGAAGAAGUGGCCAGGCUCUUAGCAGCUGGUUUUAUCAUUGAAGUGUUCCAUCCAGAAUGGCUCGCUAAUCCGGUGCUGGUACUUAAGAAAAAUGGCACUUGGCGUAUGUGUGUGGAUUACACGGAUCUUAACAAGGCUUGUCCAGCGGAUCCUUUUUCCCUCCCUCGCAUUGACCAGAUUAUUGACGCCAUGGCGGGUUGUGAGCGUUUGAGUUUUUUGGAUGCGUAUUCUGGGUAUCAUCAGCUCAAAAUGGCGGUUAAGGACCAGGAGAAGACGACGUUUAUUACUCCCUUUGGAGCCUUCUGCUAUGUAUCUAUGCCUUUUGGGCUCAAGAGCGCCCAAGCCACUUAUCAACGGUGUGUACAGAAUUGCCUGCAUAAACAGAUCGGCCGCAAUGUGCACGCCUAUGUGGAUGAUAUUGUAGUCAAGUCAAGGCAGAAGGAGACGCUGGUUGAUGAUUUGAAGGAAACCUUUGACAACUUGCGGGUUUAUAAGAUGAUGCUUAACCCUGCCAAAUGUGUCUUUGGUGUUCCGGCAGGCAAGUUACUGGGCUUUCUUGUGUCCAACAGAGGAAUUGAGGCUAAUCCGGAGAAGAUUAUGGCUAUCACCUCCUUGGCUAAACCGAAGUGUAUCAACGAUGUUCAGUGUUUGGCGGGUCGGAUCGCCGCACUGAGCCGGUUUAUCAGCCGCCUCGGAGAGAAGGCCAUCCCUUUAUACCAGAUGUUGAGAAAGACAGAUCAAUUCAUCUGGAGUCCAGCUGCUAAUGAAGCGUUGGAGGACUUGAAGCGGCAAUUAGCCAAUCCUCCCGUUCUUGCAACUCCGGUCGACAAAGAGCCGUUAUUGUUAUACGUAGCGGCCAAUGCUCGUGCAGUUAGCGUGGCUAUUGUGGUAGAACGCAAGGAGGCAGGCAAGGAGUAUCCGGUUCAGCAGCCGGUUUACUAUAUCAGCGAGGUGCUUAUUGAAUCCAAGCAAAGGUAUCCGCAUUGGCAGAAGCUGGUAUAUGGAGUUUUCAUGGCAAGCCGGAAGUUGAAGCAGUAUUUCCAAGGGCACCCCAUCACAGUGGUCAGUUCAGCUCCCUUGGGCGAUAUCAUACAGAACCGGGAGGCGACUGGCCGGAUUGCCAAAUGGGCCUUAGAACUUGGGCCGCACGGAUUGAAGUACGUGCCUCGGAUGGCGGUGAAGUCUCAAGCACUUGUUGAUUUCAUCAAUGAUUGGACGGAGUUGCAAGCACCAGAGGAAAAACUGGAUCACACAUAUUGGACUAUCCAUUUUGAUGGAUCCAGGCAAUUGGAAGGCUCGGGGGCUGGAGUCGUAUUAACUUCCCCACGGAGUGAUAAGUUUUGUUAUGUUCUCCGCUUAAUGUUCCCUUGUACUAAUAAUGCAGCUGAGUAUGAAGCUUUACUCCAUGGUCUCCGGAUGGAUAAAGAGAUGAAUCUAAGUCGGGUUAAGUGCUUCGAUGACUCGGACCUCGUGGCUCAACAGGUAUCUGGCACUUGGGAUUCUAAGGACCCGCUUAUGGCUGCAUAUCGUCGUGAGGUGGAUAUUGUUGUGGGUCACUUCAAGGGUUAUCAGGUGGAGCACGUGGAUCGUCGAAAAAAUGAAGCGGCGGACGCUUUAAGCCGGUUGGGCUCUCAGCGUAAACCGGUCCCGCCUAAUGUCUUUCUCGAUGUGUUGCACAACCCGUCAGUCAAGCUCCCGGGUGAAGCGGAUUUGGCUAUUCCUGAUCCGGAGGAUCAAUUGGUGGCAGCCCUGCAUAUUAUACCGGAUUGGACAGUUCCUUAUCUUGCAUACAUGAACCGGGGAGAGUUGCCAGAGGAUGAGACUCUAGCCAGGCAGAUAGUCCGGCGAUCCAAAUCUAUGACAAUUAUCAAUGGCGAAUUGCAUCAUUGCAGUGUAUUAGGGGCGUUUCAACGCUGCGUCUCUCCUGAGGAAGGUUGUGAAAUUUUACGCGAAAUCCAUGAAGGGGAUUGUGGUCACCAUGCCGGUUCAAAGUCUCUGGUGGCUAAGGCGUUUCGUCACGGGUUUUACUGGUUGACAGCUCAUGCUGAUGCGGAGGACUUGGUUAAACGGUGUGAUGGCUGUCAGAAAUUUUCAAGGCGUGCUCAUGUGCCAGCUCAAGAAUUGAGGAUGAUUCCAAUUACUUGGCCGUUUGCAACAUGGGGGCUGGAUAUGGUCGGACCUUUUAAAAGAUCCAAGGAUAAGAAAACCCAGCUUUUGGUGGCAGUUGACAAGUUUACCAAGUGGGUUGAAGCGGAGCCUGUCUGCAAGUGUGAUGCAGCUACAGCGAUGCAGUUCAUUAAAAAGGUGAUUUUCCGGUUUGGCUUUCCACACAGUAUCAUUACUGACAAUGGUACCAAUUUAUCCAAGGGUGCUAUGAAGGAAUUCUGUGAACGUGAGCACAUCAGACUUGACGUAUCAUCAGUGGUUCACCCCCAGUCCAAUGGGCAGGCAGAACGAGCUAAUCAAGAGAUCUUGCGAGGCAUCAAACCCCGGCUUAUGGUUCCAUUGCAAAGAACACCGGGAUGUUGGGUUGAAGAGCUACCAUCUGUGCUAUGGAGUAUCAACACUACGCCCAACCGAUCUACAGGAUACACACCGUUUUUUAUGGUCUACAGAGCAGAGGCGGUUCUCCCUAGUGAUAUCCGGCACGAUUCGCCUCGUGUGGCGGCUUAUGUUGAAGCGGACAAUGAGACAGCACGGCAAGAUGCUUUGGACCUAUUAGAUGAGGAGCGUGACAUAGCGGCUGCCCGCUCGGCGAUUUAUCAACAAGAUCUUCGUUGCUAUCACAGUCGCCGGGUUAGAACCAGAACUUUUCAAGAAGGAGAUUUGGUGCUUCGGCUCAUCCAAGAUCAGACAGAUAUGCACAAGUUAUCCCCACCUUGGGAGGGACCUUUCGAGGUCAGCAAGAAUCUGCACAACGGGUCGUACUAUCUGAUUGAUAUUCGAGAGCAUAAACACUCACGCACAUCAGAGGAGGAGACUAACAGGCCGUGGAAUAUAGCUCAUCUUCGGCCUUACUACACUUGAGCCAUCGACUCUAUCUAUAUACAUAUUAUGGCAAUGUAUAUAUUAUCAUUGAUACAAUAAAACCGGAGCCUAAGCUAAAGCAGGGUCUCUGUCCUUUCAUAUCAUGUGUGGUUACAUGGAGUGGUUCUGUUUUAAAGCGGCCUCCGGUUUACCCCUUGAAAUUUGCUUUUCAAAAAAGCUUUGUGAUAUCACUUGGGGCCUUGGUCGCGUCCGAACCAAAGCGACACCUUUUGAUAGGCGAAAGCCACCAGAUCACUUGGGGACAUGGUCAAGUCUGAACCAGUCACGCCUCUUGAUCGGCCUAAGGCCACAGAAUCACUUGGGGGCUUGGUCGAACCCGAACCAUUGCCACGCCUUUUGAUCGGCAUAAAUGCCACGGUUUCAUUUGGGGACCUGGCUGACUUGAACCAUUGUCACUCCUAUUGGGGGCUUGGUCCUGUCCGACCGUGGUAACACCAUCUGAUCAGCUCAGUAAAGCAUGUUUUUGCAAACGGUUUUUAUCAUUGCCUUUGCUUCCAUAUAUCUUUUAUGACUAUUCUUCAAUUUUUGUUGUGUUUCCUUUAAACCAACAACACUUUUUUAUCGGUUCAUUUGACGGAAAUCGGUUCAUUUGUACUCCGGAGAAAUAUGACCGGUUUAACUUUCCUGUUAACAUCAUGAAGUAGCAGGGGGGCUCAUAACGACCCAACACGGUUUACAUGGGAGUUGUUUUCUCCCCUUUGAUGGUAACGGUUUAUAAAUACUCCGUUUCAAGCCUGGCUAAGCCAACUUCAUGCCCAGCGAUGACAGGUAUUUUGUAUCACAUAUUUGAUUAUACGUCUUAAAUACAUUGAUGAUAUAUAUAUAUAAAGGUCAUAAACCGGUUGGCGGUAUAACCGCCACCGAAGUUCAAGAUUUUCUGAUUGCAGGAAAUAUAAAUUGAGGAUUUCAAGCAAAAGCAUCAGUACUUAUGCACGAAGGCAUAUUCAAGGCAGAAGUAUUGACUAUCCUAUUACAAGGCAACGCGGUGCCCAAAUAAGAUCAUUGUUGUUCCGGCGGAUCAUAAUAAAGCAGCUAUUUAAACUGGCUUCCGGUUCAAGCCUGUUCAUCGCCCCGGUCUGAUGAUUGUGGGUCGGCCCGCGCCGUUUCAGCUUCCUCAUCUCUAUCCAUUGGCUGGAAAUCAACAGUGGUCCAGUCGAUUCCCAUUAAAGUUUGAAAGACAGCCUCUUCAUGGAUCAGAGAAGACAGUUCAAUAUCAGGAGCGUAAGUAUGCUUACGGACUAGAGGAAUCAGAUUCUCCGCUUUAGGAGUUGGUGCAGGCACUCGUUUGUUCUGAUCAUUGUACUGAGCUUGAUAAUGCGACAAGUCUGCCUCUUCAGCCAAUUGACAAGCCAGAGGGCGUACUGCACGAUUUAUCGCCCUCAAAUCAUCUUCAUUGAACUCCGAGCCGUCUUCCUUCAAGCUGGGAUAGCCUUGAGCUGCCUCAACAGGAUCGAAAUCCGGCACCCAUGCUUUUUUCCGGAUCAAGGCAUUAAUGGCUCCGGUUCGAGCAGCAGAUUUUUUCAGUUCUUCAAUCCGAGCAGGAAGCAUUGACAACCUAUUAAGAGUGUCUUGGAUUAAAGUGGGUACCGGAUUGUUAUGAGAUGCAGUGGUGAUGAUCCACCGCGCUCCGGUAUACAGCUGUUCAAUUAAAGUGUAGGCAGCCUUCAACUUCUUCUAAACAUCUGACCCUAAGUGACCAAUGCGUGUACCUGCAACAAUAUAGGAAAGAUCACAAACCGGAUCUAUUAUAAGCAGGCCAGAGUUGUCCAGGAAACCAAAAGGAGCUUACCAAAGAUAGCAGCGGUCAUGGAAUGUACUUGCCGCCUUACGGCGGUCAGCUCAUCUACCACCGGUUUAAGGGCAGCUUCAGCAUUUUCAGCUCUUUUUAUUAAAUCGGCCUUUUCAGUGGCCCAAUCAGUCUGCUCCUUCUUGAAGCCCUCCUUCAGCUGUUCUGUGAUGCUCAAAGAGCUGGUUAUUUCUUCCCUUGCCUUGUCAGUUUCAGCUUGUUGGGUUUUCAAAGUUUCCUGCAGAUCAGUAAUCCGGUCCUCUUUGAUCCUCACUUCAGCCUGCAUAAAGACAGUGCUUGGCUUUCAACAAACGGUACAAGAAUUUGAAGUACCAACCACAUAACAAGUUAUACGCUUGAUACUUGGGGGCUAAUGCACCUUCCAUUUUCAUCUAUUACUAAACCGCAAAGUCCCAAGCUCAAUACAGGUAUUCAACUUGGCACUUGGGGGCUAAUGGCUAUUUGCUCAGUUAUGUUCUGAUGUUAGAAUCUUUAUUGGAGUCCCGGUUUAACUAUACUAAGUUGAACCGGCCCUUGGGGGCUACAUUGAUGGAUUUCAAAGUAUUGAGGACUAUAUUCAAGUCCUGGCUUGAAGAAGGUUACAAACCGGCCCUUGGGGGCUAGGAGGAUUAAUACAGUGGCAGUAAUUAAAGAAAGAAGAAGCACAAGGAAGUUACCUCAAAUUUAUCUCUCAUCAUCUUUACCAGGCCAGCUUCACAGUCACGACUAGUAUAUAGCCGGUUCAAGUAACCAGAAUGAAGAUCUUGGGCACUUAGAGCAGCAUAUGUUUCCAGAUCAACAUCCCAUUUGCCUUUGUUCAUGGCAGAAAAAUCUUCUUUCACAGUAUGCUUGGCCAAAGCGACAGGAUUCCCUGGUUCAAAGCGACCUACGCCGGUAAUUACAACGUCAUCAUCCUUGGACUCGCCGGUUUGCGUUGGCGCGGUCGGUUUAUCGGCAGGCUUUGAAGGACUGCGGGAUCUAUCAGUCCGGACGGAGCUGGCAGGCUGGUCAACAGGGACUGAGGUAUUGAUAGGCCUUUUCUCAGGAAUUGCAUCAUCUUGCAAGGGAGGAUCAUUGGGAAUAUCCUCAUAAAUGAAUGUUUCAAGAUCUGGUGUUUUAUCCUGUUCAGGGGCGACAUCUUCCUCGGCCGCUUUAUCCAGGCGGGCUUUCUUGCUCGGUUUAGGUUUAGCCCUGAAAGAGAAACAAAGAGUCAAGGAACAACAUAAGUUAUAACGUGGUAUACUAGAAGCAUAUGUUCAGUCUAGCUUACCCAAGAACCGUUUUCAGUGGUGGCAGCCGAGUGGCCGACGAUUCACCAGAGGAAGAAUGGGAAGUAAUCUGAUAAUCGGAGUCGGACGGAUUAAGAGGUUGACGGAUGAAACCCGCUUUAGGAUAUAAAUUAAUAAAAAGGUCGGAGAACUCAGAGCGGCGUUUUCGAACCGGACUAUUUGGUAAACCGGCGGAGGUAACAACCUGGCCGCUGUGCCGGGUUGUGCGGCGAGCUUUAUAUUGCUAAGUCUUCAUAAGAAAUUUGGGAUCCAAGUAAGCAAGAGGAUGAGAAAAUUUAACUUUCCGGAUUGCCUGGCGAAAAUUUGGCAAAGGCAAAGGAUCUGAAUCGGAAGAGAGAAUAGUUACCUCAGCGACAUCAGCAUUACUGGCUUCAGCGUCGUCCUGACAAGUAUCAUCAUCAAUAAGGCAUGUAAAAAGUAAGCCUAGUGAAUCGAGUUCUACCUCAAGGUCCGAGUUACCCACAUCAUCAUCAACAGCCGGAUCAGAUGAAGCAGUGGUUUUCCUCUUUUUAGCAGGCUUCUUGAUGACCUUGGUCUUUACCCGGGUUGACCGUUCUGCUUUCUCCGGUUUGUCUUGUGGAAGCUUCUUGCUCCAAAACGGAUUAUCACCUUAGUUAAGCAGCAAUUGAUGUCAGACAGAGAUAGCAAUAACAGGUUUAGUAAAAAGUACAAUCAAAAUCUUACAGCUGGCGGUUUGUUGGUAGCACAGAAAGGGAGCAGGCCGGUUUGAGCGCAGAGGUGCUCCGGUUCGUUCAGCAUUUUCUUCACAGCCUCUGUGACUUCAUCAUUGGAGAGCUGGAUGUUGGUGUGUCGGAGUGGGUCAUCAACACUACCAGUAUACUUGCACAUUAAACCGGAGCGCCGGCUGAGAGGCAGUAUGCUCCAUGAUAUCAAACAGCGUGCGAGAUCUACUCCUGUUAAACCGUUGGCCAUGAAGGCUCGGAGCUUGGAUAAUUGCGGAGCGUAUUUACUCCUCUCCUUGGCACUUAACCUUUGUGGGAAGGGGUGUGUAUUGCGGAGCCGCUCCGGACGAAAGCCGGGCAAAGGAUUUUCAUCAUCAGGGGAAGUAUCUUUGCAGUAAAACCAUGUUGCAUUCCACUCCUUGGGGUGACUGUGUCGUCUGGCAUGGGGAUAAGUGAUUUCUUUCCUUUUCUGAAUUGCCAUACCACCCAAUUCGGUAUUGGGACCAUCAGUGAAUUCUGUGCGGCAGUUUAAGUGGAAGCAGUAUCUGAACAAUUCAACUGUGGGUUUCUCUUGAAGGUAUACCUCACAGAGCACUUGGAAGUGACAUAAGUUGGUAACAGAAUUGGGGCCAGUAUCUUGCGGGCAGAGUUGAAAAUUGGCUAACACAUCCCGGUAAAAUUUAGAGCCGGGCAGUUUGAAGCCCCGGGCUAAGUGAUCCGCAAAGAUCACAACCUCUCCCUCUUGAGGUGUGGGAGGACAUUCAUCACCAGGAACCCUCCAGUGGAUAGUCUCUUUGCUGUCUAAAGCGCCGAUCGAGACUAAAUCAUCCAACUGAGUUUCUGUGACACGAGAAGGAACCCAGUUGCAUUCAUAUACUUGUUUGGCCAUGGUGAGAUCUACAAGAAAUAGGUGAUUCCGGUUCAAGAACAUGUUGGAUAAAAGAAGGCGCUGGUAUGAACAAUGCUAAACCGGAGGCAGUAUAUUUAAACCAGAUUUUUAUGAAGUGGCAUCAUAUGGUUAAAGAGUUCUGGCGGUUCAACAAGGGGACUAAUGGUAUAUACCGGUUUAUUAACUUUUUCUAUAUUAAGUUAAACCGCCUGAUCUAAACAUUGAAAUCAAUUGAGGUUGCGGAUGGCUAAGUAUGUAGAAACAGGUUUCACAAGGUCUUAUUGCAGCAAUGGAUCUGAAGCAAGUUCAGAAAAACAGAAAAUAUUCAAAAGGUUAAAGUAGAACAGAAGUAAAUCAAUGGGUAGGAAUGUGGAUGAGAUCUAUAGACUUGAGCGUAAAACUACAGGCGGAUGCUAAAAAGCUACUGCUGGUCAGAGCAGGGUUUCACAGAUAUGUCCAGGAGUCUAGGUACGAGUAUGAACAAGUGAUGAACACGGCAAGAACACGAAACCCUAGAAUAGAUCUAUGUUAAGAAGAACAGAAGGCUUACCAGAGUCGAGGAAGACGCGGAAGGCUACCGCGGUGCUCUGGUGCGUUCAGGUUGAUGCAGCGGCCCAAGACGGUGCGGAGGUCAACGGCAGCGGCGGAGCUCCGAGGCUGGCGACGCGAGGAAGACGAAGAGAAAGAGAUGAAGGGGAGAAAAGGAAUGACCCUUCGGUCCUAUUUAUAAGGCAGGGGACGUGUGUCAGGCGCGCGAAUCCAGGAGCCACAAGAUUCGGAAGUGGAGCUGCUGCCUUGGGUAUCGCAGAUCUAUUAAUAAAAGAAGGCGUCAUAAAUGUUAACUUCAUGAUGACGUCAUGCCGGUUUACAGCAACCUGAGAUGAUGACGACAUGGCGGUUUACCAAUUACCAGAAGAUGUUGAAGACAAAGAUUUUUGUGAAGGAUUGACAUGAACUAGUUCAAAUCAAUCUGGGGCCUAAUGUUGGGGAUAUUACCACUAGGCGUGAACCGGCCUACCUGGGCCGGGUUAGCUUCAUUAGUAGUUAAAAGGUGAUUAAGUAGAUGAAGGCCCAAGGCCUAUAGUCGGUUUAGAACCUGUAGCCGUAAACCGGCUUGAUAUGUAAACUUGCAUUGUAAGUUAGGAAUAGAGAGAGACCAACCCGGAUACGAGUAUGAACCGGUGUGGGACUUUGUAGACCGACGGGCGUCACCCGUGUAUAUAAGGGGAUGACCCGGCGGCGGUUCAAGGACAGACAACAACAACUCGAGCCUAGGCGAAGCUUGUUUGCUCCCUAGCCAUUGAAACCACAUCAAUUCCAUCACAACUAGACAUAGGCUUUUACCUUCAUCUAAGGGGCCGAACUAGUAUAAACCCUUGUGUCUUUGUGUCCGCUUUAACCCCUUCAAGUUAACCCGUAGUGAUGGCUCCACGACUAAGUCCUUUCACAAGGACAUCUGCCGUGACAAAUCCACGACAGGUCCCGCUUGGGGGAUUGUGGUUCGCCGGGUUCCCCUAGGCGCGGGCCCCGCGUGCCUAGGGAAACUGUGCGUCGUCUUGUCGAUCGUCAUGGCGAGGCCGAGUCGAGCCGCGCACAGUGUUCUCCAUCAGGCCGCCGCUUGCUGUUGUCAGCGGUGAGGGCGGGAACACUGUUGCCGUGCCAGCCCUGGUGAGCGGGUAGGUAAGGGGCACUGUUGCCACGCUUUGGCUGACCACGGGCAUGGGCGGGGGCACUGUAGUCUUGGUCAUCGGUGAUUGAGGUCUCGUCCCAUCGUACGGCCUGGAUGGGACGGGAGCUGACCCGUGGUUGGGUUGCCGUGGAUGCCACGGGUGGGUUGGCUUGCUGGGGAAGCCAAGGUUGCGCCGGGCUGAGUUGCCUUGCGCCAGCCGCUGCGGCCGGGUCGAUGUACCUUACUGAGUCGAGGGUCUUGGCUGGGUUGCGCGCCUUGCCGGGUCGAGCAACCCGGCUUGACGCACGCCGGUUUGCGGGGUGAUGCGGGCCCUGCUGUUUUUGAAAUAGAUCCAGGUUCCAUUGCCUGCCAGGGGUUCAUCCCCCCGAUAGUAGUCCCCGAAGCUGUGAAGGUCCAUUGUCUUCGGAUGAGUGGGCCUUCGCAGUUUCCCCCUUGAGCAAGGAAGAAUCUGCGAACGCCGGGUCCGGCAACACCCACUGUGUGCCGGUUUUCUUGGAAACUGGAUCGCGGUAUCCCGGCUGUGGCGGGAACCGAAGAGUUCAUCGAAUCUUGAGGCGAUCCCUCGGGCUUCGUGCAGGCGCCACGUGGUGCCUGGAAGUAGGAGGGGCCUGACAGGCCACGCGCGUGACGGGACUGGGCGACGGGCCGGGGCCCGUCGCCGCGCGUCCAUGGCCACACGUGCGGAUUUAUUGUGGCAUCUGGGGGCCAGUUGCACUUCCCCGCACAGUUAGUGCGUGUGUACGUGCGCACUUAUCGCGGGGUAGUGGAACGAGCGCGUGCAGACAAUCCCACUCCCCCAUGUUUGAACCGGGGGUUAUAUAUUGAGGGGAGCAAGGGGGCGGCGGACAUUAUUCUCGCUCGCGCCCUCUUGUCCCCGUGCUCUUGCUCUGCUUCUUGCCACUGACGCACAGCUGCACCUGCGGCCUUGAGCAGAGACCUUCUCCGUCGUCCUUCUUCCUCUUCUUCUUCUGAUGAUGUCGCUGCCAUCGGGCUCCUGGAUGGGCCCGACUGUCACCACCGACGACAUCACCUACCUUCGGUCCUCGCGGCGCCUGCCGCGGGAGACGGACAUCGGCGUCCAUCUGCCGCAUGGCGAGCAGAGGCCCCGGCCCGAGGGGCAGGAGCGCGUCGUCUUCCUCACGCACUUUGAGUGCGGCUACGGGUUGCCGGUGAGCACUUUCUUCCGCGGAUUCUUGGAGUUCUUCGGGCUCCAGCAGCACCAUCUCGGCGUCGGCUUCGUGACCCUGUGCGAAGGAUACCUGGGGGUCGAGCCCACCAUUGAUCUCUGGGCGUGCUUCUUCUCCUUGAAGCAGCAGGGCCCGUCGGCCGGAGAGUUCGCCGACUGUGGGCCCGCCAUCAUCUCGAAGCGGUCGGGAGCGGACUUCCCCAAGAUCCCGCUCGAGGAUUCUACCUAGAAGUGGCAGAACUCCUUCUUCUACGUCUGCAACCAUGGCGUGGACCACAUCAACCUUCCCCCCUUUGCCGUCGCGCCGCUGCGGGCGAAAAUGAACUGGGGCUACUCGCUCCGGCGCCCGUCGCAGAAGAUUGUCAACCUCUGCGAGCGGGUCACGGUGAUGAGGACGCAGGAGGGGCUCACUGGCACCGACCUCCUUGCCGCGUUCAUCACCCACCGGGUUCUCCCGCUUCAAAGGUGUAGGACCUUGAAGUAUGUCUAGAGGGGGGGUGAUUAGACUACUUGACCAAUUAAAAACUUAACCUUUUCCCAAUCUUAGUCUUUGGCAGAUUAUAUCUAUCUUAGCACAAUUAAAGCAAUCUUCACACAAUUCAAGCAAGCAUGCAAAGAGUAUAUGAGCAGCGGAAAUUAAAGCAUGCAACUUGCAAGAAUGUAAAGGGAAGGGUUUGGAGAUUUCAAACGCAAUUUGGAGACACGGUGAUUUUUGAGCCGUGGUUCCGAUAGAUGGUGCUAUCGUACAUCCACGUUGAUGGAGACUUCAACCCACGAAGGGUAACGGUUGCGCGAGUCCACGGAGGGCUCCACCCAAGAAGGGUCCACGAAGAAGCAACCUUGUCUAUCCCACCAUGGCCGUCGCCCAUGAAGUACUUGCCUCACUAGCGGUAGAUCUUCACGAAGUAGGCGAUCUCCUUGCCCUUACAAACUCCUUGGUUCAACUCCACAAUCUUGUCGGAGGCUCCCAAGUGACACCUAGCCAUUCUAGGAGACACCACUCUCCAAAAAGUAACAAAUGGUGUGUUGAUGAUGAACUCCUUGCUCUUGUGCUUCAAAUGAUAGUCUCCCCAACACUCAACUCUCUCUCAUAGGAUUUGGAUCUGGUGGAAAGAAGAUUUGAGUGGAAAGCAACUUGGGGAAGGCUAGAGAUCAAGAUUCAUAUGGUAGGAAUGGAAUAUCUUGGCCUCAACACAUGAGUAGGUAGUUCUCUCUUAGAAAUGGUAAGUUGGAAGUGUAGGUUUGUUCUAAUGGCUCUCUCCACGAAUGAAGAGGAGGUGGAGGGGUAUAUAUAUCCUCCACACAAAAUCUAACCGUUACACACAAUUUACCAAUCUCGGUGGGACCAAAUCAACAAACUCGGUCAGACCGAUUCAGUAAACCUAGUGACCGUUAGUGAUUUCGGUGGGACCGACAUGCAACUCGGUGGGACCGAUAUGGUUAGGGUUAGGGCAUAAUGUAAUCUCGGUGAGACCGAUUACACAAACUCAGUGAGACAGAUUUUGGUAAUAAGCUAACCAGAGAGUUGGUCAGGUAAACUCGGUGGGACCGAUUCGCUCUUUUCGGUGAGAGCCAAAAUGUUACGAAAGGGAAACAGAGAGUUUACAUUGCAAUCUUAGUGGGACCGAUCGCUCACUUCGGUUAGACCGAAAUGUUACGAAGGGAAACAGAGAUAUUACAAUCCCAUCUCGGUGAGACCGAGAUCCCUAUUGGUGAGCCGAUUUUCCUAGGGUUUGUGGCAGUGGCUAUGACAUCUGAACUCGGUGGCGCCAGAUAGAAAGAAUCGGUGGGGCCGAGUUUGACUUUUAGGUUUAGGUCAUAUGUGGAUAUGAGAAAGUAGUUGAGGGUUUCUGGAGCAUAUCACUAAGCACUUGAAGCAAGAAACUCAUUAAGUAACACCUCAUCCCUCCUUGAUAGUAUUGGAUUUUCCUAUAGACUCAAUGUGAUCUUGGAUCACUAAAAUAUAAAAUGUAGAGUCUUGAGGUUUUGAGCUUGAGCCAAUCCUUUUAUCCUUAAUAUUUUGAGGUAUCCACUUUCAUCAUCCGUGCCAUGCCAUUCAUCGAGCUUUCCUGAAAUAUUUCUCUUGGAAUAGUAUUAGCUCAAUGAGCUAUAUGUUGUUAUGAAUUACCAAAACCACCUAGGGAUAGUUGCACUUUCAAGAGGCGCUCCUGCCUCAUCAACGAGAUGAUCGGGCUUCAGGAUCCCAACUGGAUGGGAUCCACGCGGCUGUCUGGGGAGCAGGUCGCGCGAGGCGUGAACAACUUCUCCAAGGCCAACCUUGGAGAGGACUGGCGAUUCGGCAAGGCGCCGUACAGCCAGGCGAACCCGGCGCCGCAGGUGAGCAUCUGGUCUGGCUAUGUUUCCGCCGCGCAUCUUCUCAUUCGUCCCGACGUGUAGCGGGUGAUUCUUCUGAACGCAAGCCGGCACCCUUACGCCCGGGCUCCAUUGCAGGUGGCGUCGGUGGCACCAGAGGAUCCCGCGGCUCACGGCGGCGAGGAGGUGGCCGAGUCCGACGCCGGCGCUGGGCGCCGCACGGGUAAGCUUCGAGUCUUUCUCUUCUUCAUUUGUCUUGGAUUGUUUGGGAGUGUUGGGGCAUUGGCGACGCUGAUGCCAGUUGUCGAUGUAGCGGCGUUGGGCGGGGAAGGCGGCGAGGCGGGAGGAGCCGGGUCUUCGCAUGGGGCGGCACCGAGCUGCCCGCAUGGGAAGGACAGCGUCGCGCCAUGACCCCGGGCCCCGAAGCGCAUGGCGGAUCCGGCCGAGCCUAGGAGGCCGGCCAAGAAGAGGUGCGGGAAGCCGACCCCGGUCCCGGUCUUGUCAGGGUAAGUCUUUUUUCUUGCUUGCACCCUGAUUUCUUGGGCCAGCCUCGUCUUGCGUUUGCUCAUUCUUCUUUUUUCUUCAGGUCACCGAGGGGGCCGCGUUUCGCAGGAGCCGGUUCGACCUCGCCGUCCUGGCCGGGGAGGAGGGACGGGGCGACUCGGACCUCUGCCUAGACCCGGAUGAUGCCGAGGCCUUGGCCUGGCGGGACAGGAACCGGGCCGAGGCGGAGUUGGAGGCGACAUCGGUCCGGGCUUGGACCGAGGCGGCGGCGGCAUGGGCGCAAGGCGGCGCGGAGCCGGCCUAGCGCGAGAUGCCGGAGGGCACGGUGGUGGCGGCGACGCUUUUUUGAGCCGUCGACGCUGAGGGAGCGCGGUCGCGGAGGCUGGGCUAAGGUGGUGGUCGUCGACCGGGUGGUCGUGGAGGUGGGGGACGGAACCCCGCCACGGGCCGACGUGGUCGAGCGCGCGGGGACAUAUGGUGGUGGAGGCGGCGUCGCUUUGGAGGCGGCACCACAGGAGGCGGUGCCUGAGGUGGCGACGCAUGGUGUCCCGGCGUCUGAGGAGGUGACGACGCCGGGAGGGGCGUUCGAGGAGGUGCUGGCCGCGUCGCAAGCGGCCAGUAGUGGGCGUGCCUUGGUGCUCCGUCCGGGAGGGCACCGAGUCGUUGUGCCGCCGCCCGCGCGAAGCGGGGGCGCGGACGUCUUUGGGCCCCAGACCUAGGAGGAGGCGCGCUGGACGCCGUUAGCCGCCGCCUUCGAGGUUGGACGGAGCGGCUUGAGGCCUGUGCCCAGGCCGAGGUGGAGCGGACGCGCGACUUGGAGCACGACGUCUUGGUAAGUUCUUCUUUCAUUCUUGCUUUCUUGUAACUUCAACUUUGUGGGGGCGCGCCAGCGCACCCACUGGGUGUAGCCCCCGAGGUUCAGGCCAACUAUGUAGUAGUUGGGUCGAACGUUAGGAGCGUUGGCCUUGUGUUGACUUUGGUCUUCUCUUCAGCACCUUGACGCCUUCCGGGUUGCCGCCUUCAACCGGAUCCUGGGCAAGCACCGGGAGCUCAAGGAGCAGCUUGCCGCCAAGGAGGAGGAGCUUUGUGUCGCUGCAGGUACUUUGUUGUGCUCUUUUCUUCUAGUGGGGGCGCGCUAGCGCACCCACUGGGUGUAGCCCUCGAGAUUCGGGCAAACUGUGUAACAGUUGGGCCAAAUCUUAGGUCUUGUCUUUUCCUUUCUUUCUGCUAAAUUCUUCUUCUUCGCAGUCGAGGUGCUGUCCUGGUGGACCCGGCUGUUCCGGGCUGGUCAUCACUAUGACCGGCUUGUUGCUGACUCCGGCCGUCUCGGCAUCGAGCGGCGCAGACGAAGGCGGAGGCGGCCGCGGCCCGGCAGUCUCUUGACGAGGCCAGCCGGCUGCACGAGCAGCUGGCGGGUCACAAGGGCCGCAUCGAGGCAGAGGAGGAGCUUCCUAAAGCGGAGGCUGCCAAGGUGGUGGAGAUGCAGCAGGCCCUGGUCGAGGCGGACCAGCAGCGCGGCCAGCUGGUCGACGACAAGGGCGGCUCCAGGCCGAGGUGGAGCGUUUGCGGGAGCAGGCCACCACGGCUGAGGAGGCCCGCCAGGCCGAGGCUCGCUGCCAUGAGGCAGCCGAGAAGGCGGCCGAAGA
RNAcentral lists this long non-coding RNA (78282 nucleotides) under Triticum aestivum (bread wheat). Its description in RNAcentral is "long non-coding RNA (TAES_LNC007490)". Lineage: Eukaryota; Viridiplantae; Streptophyta; Magnoliopsida; Poales; Poaceae. The record is from RNAcentral.